This 47451-nucleotide long non-coding RNA is filed under the name Malus domestica (apple). RNAcentral describes it as "long non-coding RNA (MDOM_LNC003514)". Lineage: Eukaryota; Viridiplantae; Streptophyta; Magnoliopsida; Rosales; Rosaceae. The record is from RNAcentral.
AGCGCAGCACGUGUCGACAUCAAGAACCAAUCAUAACAUGACACAUGUCAAUGUGACAAAGCUACAAGUUUUUCUAUAAAUAGGGGCCAUUCCCCCACAAUAUUGGCUAAUGCCAUUUGUGUUAAAUCAUUCACAAGAACUCACUAAAUUGAGAGCUUGAUCCUUUGUACUUGUGUAAGCCCUUCACUACUAAUAAGAACUCCUCUACUCCGUGGACGUAGCCAAUCUGGGUGAACCACGUACAUCCUGUGUUUGCUUCUCUGUCUCUAUUCAUUUACGUACUUAUCCUCACUAGUGACCGAAGCAACCAAGCGAAGGUCACAAAACCUGACACUUUCUGUUGUACCAAAGUCUUCGCUGAUUUUGUGCAUCAACAGGAUUUUUUCUCAAACAAAAAAUCUUGAUGCAAUUAGAAAUGGGAACAAUUUGAUAUAAGUUGUAAUUUGUUUUGUGAGAUGAUUGAUGUAAAAUUUUUUACUUUAUUCAACACCAAACACUUAUCUUUAUUUCUCACAAUCUUAUUAAAUAAGUCAAAUAAAAAACAACAAUCAAAAGAAAAUAACGUUUAAACAAGAAUGUGUAAGAAUAGAAAAAAAGAUGUUUGGUUAUGAUUUUCCUUUCAAAAGUGAACAGUCCACCCACCAAGUUUAAUUAUUUCCCACUAUUCGUUGCUCACUCACGUUCACUUGAAUUAUGUGUAAGAAUAGAAAAAAGAUGUUUGGUUAUGAUUUUCCUUUCAAGACUGAAAGCAGUCCACCCACCAAGUUUAAUUAUUUUUCACCACCCACCAAGUUUAAUUAUUUUUCAUGGAGUAGGAUUUUCUCCCUUUAUUUUUUAAUCCUCUUUCAUUCCUUUCUCUUACCUUCUUCAUUUUAUCUUUAUAUUUUUAUAAAAAAAUUAAUAUAAGAUAUUAACAUGAUUUAAGUUUGAAUUAAUCCUACUCCAUUUACCACUAUCCGCCGCUCACUCACUUUCACUUGAAUUAUUUUGUUUAUGUGGUGUAGAAAGAAUGAAAAGAGAAAAAUACCCCCAAAAGAACCAAACUUUCAGAACUGUCUGUAUCCCAAAUGAGUCUUUGGUAUUGCUCUGCCAUUGCCAUUGGCAUUCCCUUCCACCAUUGACAUUGACGACAAACCCUUCAACUCCUCCAUACUCGCGUAGCUCUUCCUCGCCGUGAUCCCUCCGCUAUUGUUGUACCUCUCCUCCCCCGCGCUCACCGACUUACUCCCUAUCGAAUUCGACAAUAUCCCGUACGCUGCUUUCGCCAGACUCUUUGUCGGCAUGGUCAUCUCCUGCAUCAACGGAAACCUUGACGGCGGCUUGCGGUUCUCUUUUCGUAACACGGCUGAGAAAUUGGGCACCGAUUGAGCGAGAACGGAAUACCCUUUUCGCGAAUUGGUCAGAUGGGUCUUAAAUUUGACUUGUUUCUUCAAUGGGGUCAAUUUCGAUUCGGAUUCUUCGAGCUCCUCUAGGAUCAUGUACUUCCUCCUUAGCCGCGAUUCUCUGAGUUCCGCGUAGGCUUUGUAUCUAGGUCCUUUCUCCAUGGCGGCUCUCGGUGGUGAACCUCAAUGAACUGGAUGUUGAUAUGGGCUAGGGUUCUGGGAGGGACGUAGAACCCAGAUGGGUUGUAGGGAGUGGGUCCCAUAUUUAAUUUUUUAAUAUUUAAGGAGGUGUAUUCAAUUGGGAUUUUUAGAGAUUUUAAUUCUUUUAAUAAAUCUAGAGGUGUUCAAUCAAGAUUUUAAGUGAUUCUCUGAAAUUCAAGGUGUAUUCAAUUAGAAUUUUAAGAUAGUUUAUUAAAAUCCUUAGAAAUCCGGGUGCAUUCAAUUAGGGUUUUAAAGAAAUUUAUAACAUUCCAGUUGUAUUCAAUUAAAAAUUGAUUUUAAAGAAUUUGGGAAAGUUGGGGAAUUAGAAGGAAUUGAAGAGAUUUUGUAGUGUAUUUUAAGCAUCUACAAAUCUCACAUUUUUCCCUUAAGAUUUCGAGGAAAUUGAAUCAAAAUUUUAUAUGAAAUCUCCACAAAUCAAUUAAACUCCAUAAAAAUCCAUAAAUUUAUAAAUCCAUUAAAAUCUCUCAUAUUCUCAAUUGAAUACACCCCCUUAAUUAAUUUUUGAGUAAAGUACAAAAAACUACCUCAACUAUUGGUGUCAUGACACUUUCAUACCUCAACUUUUAAAAUUGACAAUGGCAUACCUCAUCUUACGAAUUUGUGCCAAUGUUAUACCUUUCGUUACCUUGGCGUGAAUUUCUCAGUUAACUGCUGACGUGGCUUGAUCCUUGACCCAUUUUCUAUUAAAAAAUUAUUAAAAACAAAAAAAAAUUAUUUAAUAUUUUUUAAAAUAUUAAAAUAAUAAAAAAGUUAUAAAUAAAUAAAAAUAAAAAAACAACUUUCAGUCCCCUUUCCGAUGUCCCUCCCCCCCCCCCCAACUUCUCUCUCUUCUCCCCAUCUUCAUCUUCUUCACCAUUCCUGCAAACCAAAAAAAAAAAAAAGAGAAAAAAAAAACUAAUUUGUCUUCCCCCCUCCCUACCCCCUUUUCUCCCCACACCCACUCUCCGCACCCAACCUCCCCACCUGGGGGAUGGACGAACUGGGUUUAUUUUAUUUUAUUUUUAUUUAUUUUUUCUUUUCUCCUUCUUCCUCUUCUCAUUCUCUUCUUCUUCUUCGGGUUGGGUUUGUGGUGAGCAGGGGUGAACUGGGUUGGGUUGAUUUUUUUUUUUUCCUUCUUCUUCUUCUUCGUCCUUCUUCUUCGUCCGUCUUCUUUCUGGGUUGCAGGGACGAAUAGUUUUUUUAUUUUUUUUUAUCCUUCUUCUUCUUUCUGGGUUGCAGGAAGAUGGGAGGGGGAGGGACGAACAUAGGGUUUUUUUUUCCUCUUCUUCCUCCUCCUUCUUUCUGGAUUGCAGGAAGAUGGGGAGAGGAGGGACCAACAAAGGUUUUUUUCUUUUUCUUUUUCUUCUUCUUCUUCCUCAUUCUUCUUCUUUUUGGGUUGCAGGAAGAUGUGGAGGGGGAGGGACGAGAGGUUUUUUUUAAAAUUUUUUUUAUAUAUACUUAUCUUUAUUAUUUUAAUAUUUAAAUAAUAUUAAAUAAUUUUUUUUUAGUUUUUAAUCGUUUUUAAUCAUUUUUAAUGAUUUUUUAAUAGAAAGUGGGUUCUGAAUUAAGCCACAUCAGCAUUUAACUGAAAAGUUAACGGCCAAGUAACGGAAGGUAUAACAUUGGACCAAAUUCUAAAAAUGAGGUAUGACAUUGUCAAUUUUAAAAGAUAAGGUAUGAAAGUGUCAUGACACCAAUAAUUAAGAUAGUUUUUUGUACUUUACCCUUAAUUUUUUUAAUCUAGUUGGGAUAAAGAGUGGGCCCUCUUUAAAGAAAUUGAUAGAAAAAUUAACAGAAGUCUAACAUUGUAACAAAUUCAUAAAAUAAGAUACAAUAUUGUAAAUUUUAAAAUAUAAGAUAUAAGAUUGUGGUUCGAUCUAUAAUUAAAGUAAUUUUAUGUAAUUUAUCCUAAAAAAUCCAAGAAAACCCAACCGGCAAGAAACAUAAAGCGACGGAAGAAUACGACCGAGUCAUCGCCACAGCCCACAGGAGCUAAUAAUCAAGAGGAAAUAGACAAAAAGAGAGGGGCAAUGGUUGGACAGGGGAGCCAUACCUGGACUUUUCUAUUGACUGGGGCAUGGAUUCACAUGUUACACAUUUUAAGAGGGAUUAGAAGGACUCAGAUCAUCUCCAAACGAAAUAUCAAAUUUUAAAUAUAAAAUUUAAAUUUGACGGUUUAUGUGUCAUUUUGAUAUUUUUCAAAAUUUUGCUCUUCAUCCGAUAUGUCAAAUUAAAUAUUAUUUUAUUACACUUUUUUUUAGCUUUUUUUUUAUUAAACUAUUAUUUUAUUACCCAUUUCGACAUCUUUCAAAACCCGAAUUUCUUCAUUUCACACCUUCAGCCAUGGAAGCUCUGCAAGCUUCCCUCCCGCAAGUCCCUCACACCCAGUUCGAACUACCUUCAGCCAUGGAAGCUCUGCAAGCUUCCCUCCUGCAAGCUUUCUGCUUUUCUUCUCUCUGUUCUCUCUCUGGUUUUCCAAAAUUCAAGCUUCGGUCUUUCUGGCUUCUUCGUUUGCUUUCAGUUUCAGCGUUUCCAAUAAAAAAAUUAAUAAAAAAAAUAUUUGAAGCUGCUAUCAAAUUUGACAGCAACCUCUUUGUUGCCAAUCCAUGUCAGCGCCACAUAGAAAUUGACAUUUCUGUUGGAGAAUACUAGUGUAGCCAUUUAUUACUGUUAUAACUUAUGUGGACAUUUUGACAUCUCCUUUAGAGAUACUCUCAUGUUGACAGAAAUUGAUGUCGGACUGUCGUUUAAGAGUUAAAGGAAUAUUACUAGACCUAAUUGGCGUUAAAAUUCUUAUUAAAAGCCGAAGUUUUCCUUAAAAUGUACUUGAAAGUGCUUUAUUAAGAAGCUUCUCCAAAAAGCACUUAUAUGAAUAAAAAACUUUUCUAACUUUUUCUACUGGGCUGGUUUGGUAUUGUUGUGUUUUGAAAAAAAAACUGCUUCUGCUGUUUUGUGAGAAUAAGCAGCUGUGAAAUAAAGCUGUAGAGUGUUUGAUAAACUUUUUUGUAAAAAUGCUUUUGAAAAAAAAAAAACAGUAUUGUAGUGUUUGGUAAACUUUUAUGUAAAACAGUUGUGAUUGUGUAAAAUGAUUAAAACUGGUAUAAUACUAGAUGUGCCAUUAAUUUAAUUUUCUUAACAAAUAAAGGUGAAUUACUAAAUAUGCUUUAUUUUUAAAAGAAAAAUAUUUAUAAACUUUAUCUUAAACAUAUAAUCCAACGUUUAACAAGAAAUCAUAAUCCAAUGUUCAACAUAUAAUCCAACAUUUAUGCUGUUUCACGUUUUCAACUUUUUUUUUUCACCCAAAACUAUGAAAAUAAGCUAUUUUUAAGUGUUUAUCAAACACCUUUUUAAGUUCAGUUUUUUUUAUACCCACUUUUUAUAAAAACACCUCAGUACCAAACCAGUACGUAGUUAGAAGUGUUUUGGCUUUUAGAAGAGUACCUGCUUAGAGCAACUCCAGCGUGCUCUUUAGCCCGAUUGACCGGUGAUUCCAAUCACCCAAUUGCCCCAGCAACUAGCUCCAGCGCAUGCGGGCAAUGAAGCUCAGGGGAGGCCCGGUGGACAGGCCAAGCAGGAAUCCAUCGCCCGAGAGCCUGAUGGCUGUGUGAUGUGUGGCUAACCUCAAGGUGACCCGGCUCGAAUUGGUCUAUUUUCCUUUGUUGGAAUCUGGAAAAAGAAUGGGAUGCAUCCAGGGAAUUAAGCCAUCGAAUUAAACCACAAGAAUUGCAGCACAACAUGAUUUAAAGCUCAAGAACACAAGAUAGUGAUAGAAACAUCACCUGGGUUCGAGAUUGAGAGCUCAAGCUCUCGGCUUCAAUGGUAGGACCUCGCACCAUGCACCGAUGCCGCAUGCAAGGCCAUGGUUGGGUUCCUUGCGUUCCAGGGAUUCUAAAAAUAUUGUUUUUGAGCUUGAUUUGUUAAAGGUUUGAAGAGGAAGGAGGAAGAGAGCUCACGAUAGUGAGCUAGAAAAGAGGGAGAGAGAAAGAAAAAGGAAGAGAGAGAAAGAAAAGAGAGAGAGAGAGGGAGAGAGAGGAAGAACCGGUCAAAUGAGGGGAAAAUGAGAAAGGGUGAUGGGGUGUAUGGAUUGGGUGUGGAAAAAAUAUUAAUAUUUUAUUGCCUAUUGUCAUAGCUGUUCAAUUUAGGGGUGGAUAUGCAAAAUACGGUUAAUGUUCAUUAAAGGUAGUUAUUGUUCACCGGGUGGAUUCAAUAGUGAGUUGUCCUAGGGGACCUUUGCAACGCUGGAGUUGCUCUUAAGGAAUAGCAUUAUGAAAACUCAAGGCCUCGGAUUUAUCAUUUGGCUAGCUAGCAGAACAGGAUCAAAAGGACCCAAAGAAGACCAACGGAGGCACAGGAAAGGGCACUUGAGAAUCAUGCCCAACCUACGCACUCCUGACCCAACCAUAUACAUGAUGUCAAAGGAACACACUGUAUCGAGUCACUUGAAUAUUUUAAAAACCAGGUAGAAGACAGUACCUGGAAGAGGAACUUUGAGGCUCAAAUCCACACACACACACAACUCUCAUUUCAUGAGCUACAGAAAAAAAGUCCCGUCGUUUCAGCUGCUAAGUCCAUACCCAAAUAUGUGCUCAUUUGCAAGAUCACCGUUCUCAGCACAUCAAGCUCAACAUGUUUGGGAAUGUGAGGUCAUGAUCGAUCGAAACUCGCUUCCCGUAACUUAACUGGAUCAUUUGCCAAUUCCCUGAAUCAAAGACAUAACUAAACUCAUCAAUCUGCAAAUAAAAUUUAUCUACAUGAGAACUUCGAUUAUCGAUUAAGUACAACAAAGGAACGUGUGCCUAUACCUCCGAAAAACCAGAAAUGUUCUCUUGCAUUCAAGAAUCCUAGCAGAUACCAAAUAUAAAUUUGAGAAACAACAAUAAAAAUGUUAACUACUGACUAAAGCUAUAGCUAGUAUAGGUUCUUGUUCAUCUUAGUGUAUAUUAGGUAAAUAUUUGACUAUAAAAACAUGUAUUUACCACAACAAAAAUAGACAGCUUUGUAUAUUUGAAUUCACCAUUUGUCAACCCGUCAUUUCACGAUAAGGGUUUCUAAUCACCCAUCCUUUUGCAACAUUUGUUUAUGAAGGGGCUUGCCUUAUAAUUUCAUAGAAAUCCAAUAUGUACGAAAAAAAAAAUAUGUACAUUGAACAAAGACGGAUUAAUGUAAAGGAUGAUUUACAACUCAUUGUGAAAAAUAGUAGUUCUAAUCUAUACAUUAACUAAGCAUCCUUAUCAGUAACAAAAAUGACUUAGAAGUUUGAAAUUGGACAUAGCUUGAAAGACAAAAUGCUUAACUAGCCUUAAAAAGCUCUAACCCAUGAUGACAUCUCCGAGCGAGACAAAGCUUGGAAUAUGGACACAUGCAUGAUUGAGGUCAAUGGAAGCUUGAAUGGCAUUCCAUCAACCUUGACACAUAGAGAGCCAAAUUUUCAAGGAAUAUAAUUCUGUCAGUUAAAAUCACAUAAGAAGAAGAUUUUUCCUUCCACUGUAAAUUUCACCACUCGAUGAAUAUGAUAAUCAAACAGUCGAUAAUUUCAAGCUCUUUGGUCCAAGACUCCUUAACACCAUAUUCCUUCAUCACCCUAACAUCUACAAUUUAUAAUGUGUAGGAACAAUUAGAGAGAGAACCUCUCAAGACUCCAAUUCCCAGAGCCAAUAGUCAAAACCAUUACCUCCGCUCACCAAAUUCUCCAUCAAAUGCUUUGUUUGGAUUGCUAAACCGAACAACUUUAAAGACACCACUGAUGGGACUAAACCCAACCCACAAACAGAAGGACCAAUUUCUUCAUUUUAAGUAGGUGUUGGAACUUGGAAGAGUUGAAUAUCAGAGUGCGCAACGAACAAGACUAACAAGAAUAAAAAUAUUAUUAAACAAACGAGAAUGCCAAAACGGCUACAAAACCCUAAGAUGCUACAUUGUGACUAACUUGAUUAUUCUAUAGAGUUACAAAGUACCAUAUAUAUAGAAAACUAAUCUAACCCUAAUAGGCAAGGAAACGAAACCCUAAUACUAACGGGCUAAGCCCAAAAUACCAAACAUUAAAAUAAAUCUAAAUAAUAAUAUUUUCCAACACCCCCGUCAAACUCAUGGCGGUACACGACAUGGGUUUGCCAAAGUAGAUGUGGAUGCAAGACUCCAAAUUCCAAUGCCAAUGCCAAUGCCGAUGCCGAUGCCAAUACCGAUGCCGAUGCCAAUACCAAUGCCAAUCCGAAUACCAAUAUCAAUACCAAUAUCCAUGCCAAUACCAAUACCAAUACCAAUACCAAUAUCAAUACUUCUUUCUUGCCCGUGUGGGCACAAAGUCAAAACCUCAAAAAACAAAGCAUUUUCUUCUAUUUCCCUUUUGUCUUUUUCCUCCUCCUUUUCCUGUUUCGUUUUUCCUUUUUUUUUUUUUUUUUUUUUUUUUUUACAGUCUUCUCCGCAAAGAACCUGCAAAACACAAGAGUGCAACGAUGCAGAGUGCAGGAACAUGAAGGGUGCAGAUGCUCCAGAUGCAGUUUAGACUACCAACAACUAAUAUUGAAAUCCAAAAACAAACAAACUGAUACGAGCAAACAGAAGCAGAUUAAAUCCCGAAGGAUCAAACCUGCUCUAAUACCAAGUUGAAUAUCAGAGUGCGCAACGAACAAGACUAACAAGAAUAAGAAUAUUAUUAAACAAACGAGAAUGCCGAAACGGCUACAAAACCCUAAGAUGCUACAUUGUGACUAACUUGAUUAUUCUAUAGAGUUACAAAGUAUCAUAUAUAUAGAAAACUAACCUAACCCUAAUAGGCAAGGAAACGAAACCCUAAUACUAACGGGCUAAGCCCAAAAUACCAAACAUUAAAAUAAAUCUAAAUAAUAAUAUUUUCCAACAGGAAGUGCCAAAGAUUCACCAGUAAAUGGGAUUAGAUAAACAAAAAAUGGCCGAAGUUAGGUCUACCAUCGUAUAGGCACAAGAAGCCAUUGCAAGAACCCACAAUUUCGACUGCGAACCCGUACUCAAUACUGGAGUCUCUAGAAAGCCUCACGACAUCGCUGUGUUGGGUUAGAGUGCUCGUCGAGGCCAACCACGAAGUGACCUAUCGACUUGGCACAAGGGGCGUUGAAGCAAUGGAGCAAAAUGCAAGCCGGUGCUUGUGAAAAUAGGGACAUGGUGAAGUGGCGGUCUGAGAGCCAGUGGACACUCGUCUGCAUUGGGUGAGCGUCUUGGUUGAGAUCUCUAUUAUUGUGUGGCUGGAAAUUGCGGAAUGUACAAUGUGGGGUUUCUUCUCAUGUUUCUUUAUCUUCUUCUUUUGAAGGUUUGUUAGGGAAAUUUGCAAAAUUAACCAAAUUUUAGACCCUAUAUAUUGAAUUAUUGCCACCGUUUUAAGUUAAGGAUCAUUAUAACCAAAAUUUUACAUGAAAUUACUAACAUACGCUUAAAAUGAGUUUUCCCAUAUAACCAAAAUGAAAAAAAUUUAAAAUUCAAGCUCAAGAAAUGUUCAUUCAGAUUGAAUAUGCCAUGUUGGUCGAAUCUAGCCAGAAAACUGUCGUUCUCCGGUCACAUAGCAGGGAAUUCGAAACCCAUAUAGUCAAUCCUUGCCAAAGUUGUUUAUUUGAGAAAAAAAAGAAGAGGAAUUUAGCUCCAAAAGCAAAGCAAAUCAACGAGCUUUAUAGGAUCACACAAGCAAUCAUGGAUAGCAUCGUUGACACUAUCAACUCCGCAACCAUCGUCAUCUCAACCGAAGCUAGUGCCCAGCCCACCACCGUCUUUGUAACUCUCUCUCUCUCUCUCUCUCUCUCUAGUGCAUACAAAUCUUUAUGCAUGUGUGCUUUUUUUUUUCUCUUCUCAUUUGCACCAGAAAAGUAGAAUUGCUGCAUUUGUAGAAGCUUGAGAAAGGCUUAUCAUCCCUUGACGCAGUGCAUUAGGGACUGAAAUGUGAACAAACAAGUAAAAGCAGGAAAACUAUCAAAUAAAAAAUCCACAUAACACAAAUUGAGAGAAGAGAUAUCAACUAAUAUGACUUUAGGGUCCUUGUUAUACUCUGUUUGGUUGCUGAGAAACUCUGGGAAUCUAAAACACACAUAUAUGGACAGUUGGAUUUUGCGUUCUUACUCGUAUUUUCAAUCCUAAGAAUGAAAACUAUCAACGUUUGAGUGUUUUUGUAGGAUUUUUUUUUUGGUUGUGAUAAGAAAACUCAUUUUAAGAGUAUACAAAUACUUUCAUAUCAACUUUUAAUUAUAAUUAUCAUAAACUUAAAAGGGUGACUAUAAUUCUAUAUAGAGUCUCAACUGUUGCUUAUGGUUUCAAUUGUUGUCGUGUAGAUAGGGGGGAGAGUUCAAUUUCCUAUUUUUUGAAUUUUCACAGAUACCGUUUUCAUUAACUCACGAGUCUUUUUUAACCCAGUUUCACACUAAACCCUUUCUGAUGAAUUCAUUUUCAACCGUUCAAAUUUAAUCCUAUGGUCUACAUCCCAUCUGCACACACUGUCCGCAAAGCUCCGUUUGCACCUUAGAAAUCGCCCUCUUUAUAAACUGGCCUGGCCUACACGGCACAACCCAAUUCCAGGCCAAAAUUGCAUAAACCCAACUCCUUUUAAUUGUUUUCAGAAGAGUGGUAGUUUUGUAAUUAAAUGGAAAUAAAUGGAAACGUAGCCAAUUUGACAGUGCUUAUGAACAAUGCCAAACUCCCCUCAAUUUUAAACUAUAGUAAUAAUUCCUAGUAUUGGUGAAUCAUAUGAUGGUGGUCAGGAGAAGACUGAAAGUCUUCUCGGCCCUUGGAAGAGAGGAUUGUCGUGGUGAAACCACCAGUUAGUCCAUUUUUUAAAUAAAAUAAAAUAAAAUUUUGGAAUCAAACUUCAUUCAUUUUCCAAGUAGUCCUAAACUACUGAAAAAUUGGCAAAUGUACCAUUUUCCGUUGAGAUGUAGAUUUUACCCCUUUUAGAUCUACUCCAACCCUUAGAGUAAAAUUCAAAUUUUAGGUUCUAAACCUACCCCAAUUUGCUCCAACCCAUAGGGUAAAUAUGAGUUGUAACCCAUAACUCAUUUCUGGGGCAAAUUUAGGCCAGGAUUCCCUUUGGGUUAGUAGGGUUGACCCACCAAAUAUAUGUAUUUUUUUUUAGUUUUAUUUAUAAAUUCAUUAAAUCUAACCGUUAAGAUCUAAUAUGAUCAAAUCUAAUUGUAAAAAAAAAAAAAAAGAUUUAACUCUCCAAAUUUAGACCCAACGGCUAAAAUAAUUAAAAACAAUUGUUUUUUCAUAUUCUUUCAUAGUGUCUGAUGAGUUUCAUGGUGUCAGUUUAGUAAUUUUUCAAUAUUUGUCGGAAUCUAAAUAUUUUUAGGUUAAAAUGUUCAUAAAAUUAAAUUAGGAUAGUCUACAAAUAUAUAUAUAUAUAUAUAUAUAUUUAAAGUUACUUUAAGAAUCCUAAAUUCAUUUUUUAAUAAUCUCGGACUAAAAAUUUAACCCAUAAGAGUUAGAGCAGAAAACAUAUUUCUAGGUUAAACCCUAAAUUUUUUGGGUUAAAAAUUUAAACACGUCGGUUCUUGCACUAAUGCUAGCUAGAAACAGCGCAUUAGCUACGUAGUCCUUGGACAACAUCUUAUUUCAUAGAAAUAUUUCAUAUUCAUGACAAUACCUAUGUGUUAAAAUUAAUAGGGUUUAUUUGUCCUAUUGUAUAAAGGGAAUUUUGUCCUUUCAAGUACCUAUAUUUUUAGGCUAAUAUGUAAAGAGGCUGUUGACUUAUUUGAUGCAUGGUUAAUUUAUUUGAUACAUUUAAAAAAUAAAAUAAUUUUUUAUUCAAAUGAUUUUUUGUCAAGAUAAUAUUUAAAGAAAGAUUAAGAAAUUGAACGGUUCUAAUUAUAAAUUUUCUAUGGUAAAAAUACGUAUUUGCAAGUAGUCAUGAAUAGCUCAUCCCCGAAGAGGGGAAUGCAAGAGUAUUAUUCUUUAUUUAUUUCAUUGAAAUUAUUACAAAUUCAUGACAAUACUAAGCGUCAAAAUUCAUAAAGUUUAUUUCUCCUUUAGUAUGAUAUAAAGGGAUAUUACAUAAUAUCCUUUCUAGUUCUAUUUUUAGGGUGAUGGACAGAAUGUAAUAACGUAGUUUGGUCCACCGCUGCAUGUAAAGGUGCUGUUGACAUCAUCAUAAGCGUAGCUAUAAGCCUGAGGGCACUGGUCCUCAAAGAUCUUAGAGUAGUCUGUGGGUGGACAUGUAGCUGGUGUGUCAUUAGGAGGAGUGCAGCAGUAUUGUGGUUGAUUAAAUUGUGUACACGCACUCUUGCAUGCAAUUACGCUCCCAUCGGACCCCUUCACUUGCAGCUCAGCUGGGCAAACAGCGUUGACGUUGGCGGGGCAAGAAGAGGUCUGGCAGUCGCCCGUGCCGCCUUGUGGGGCAACAGACACGGGCAAGUUGAAGCCAUCAACAAGACUUACGUCGUAGAAAUCUUGGCCUCCGUUUGCGACAAUAUUUAUUUCGACUAGGCUUGCUGGUGGAACUGCUCCGUUACCGUUGCAUGUGACUUGGCCAGAGCUACACUCUGCUGUGGCACAACUGAACUUUCCUGAGGCGUCAGUGGAGCAUCCGGUUCGGCCCCAGAAGCGGCCUUUCCAUGGGACUGGAGUGGUCAAGGAACUGCUAGCGCCGGAUGCUAACUCGAACCCUGUGGAGGAUAGUUGUGGUUGUUGAUCGGAGGUUAGGGACCCUGGCCAUACGGUAUAGGGGCAACUGUUGGUGAAGGUGAUCGUAGCUGCAUGUGCACCUACAUGCCAAUUGUAAACGAAUAAUCAUAUAACCAUUAUGUUAACAAAAAAAUAUCUCUAUAUCUCUAUAUAUGUGUCUAUGAUGAUGUUACCAACUAUGGAUCAAUUUGAACACAAAUUAAUAACGUUCAAACAAAACAAAAAUCAUCAGUUUAAAAUUUCAUGUCUAACAGUUUAACGAUCGAUAUAACAUUUUUCAUGAAUCAUGACACGUACCAGAUCACAUACAAAUAACCGUAAACAAAAAGAACAGAACAAGUCAAUUUGUUUACCUGCGAAGAAGAUGGCUAAGGUGAGACUGAGGAUUACUUGGUUGUUCAUCAUGAUUAAGCAAUCACUUCUUCAAUUUGCUGCCAAAUUAAUUUGGUGAUGAAAUGAUGAAGUUGGGAACCGAUGGGCCUUUGGUUUUAUAGGCAUAAGCGCAUACCUAACUUUAGACUUUUUUAUUUUUGCAUGUCUGCUACAUGAGGAUCCACGUUACCACUAAUAAGUGAUGAGACGACUUGUCUUAAUUAUGGCUUUAUUAGGCGUAUUUGGUCCCUGGACUGACCCCUAGCAAGCUAUUUCCUCAUUCAACCCAAGACAUUUCUCCGCAAAAAUGCCAAACAGGAGUUAAGUGGGACAAUUUGAGUUUACAGGGUAAAAUGAGAAUGAACUUGAGUUUCAGGAAGCGUCAGGAUAAAGCUUAUUUCUUAUAAAAAAAUAUAAGGAUUAAGUACCUAGAACUCCUCAAUCUUUUAGUGUCAUUUCAAAGUAGUCCCAACCUUUUUAAAUAUUCCAAACAAGUAACUAGUCUAUUGAAAAUUUCAGAUCUGUUAAGCAUCAGUUAAAUUUAUGUUAAAUUAACUACAACUUACAUUAGGUUCAUUUUCGAUCCAAUUCAAUACCUGUUAAAUCAUUGGGUUCCAUAUGUUUGAAAUUUAGAUUUUGAAGUAAAUAGUAUUAGUGUUGAUCAUGAUAUGCUCUGUUGGUGGGUUUGAAUAUAAACGCAGGAAUGGAGUUUCAAUGGUUGUAGGUUGAGCUUGAAGGUGAUAUUUGGGAAUUUUCGAUUACGUGAAUAAAGGUAAUACGCCUUCUAAAAACAAAGAAAACAACAAGCUAAAUAAUUUACAGUAACGAUGUGAUUCUCGGUUAUUGAAACUGUAAAACAACCGAUGUCGGUAUUUGCUGAUAUCAUUGCUACCAUUCUACGUCACCAGAGAACUUUCAUUGUCAAAACACAGCUGGUAUGGCUUCAUAAUUGAAUUCCCAUAAAAUGCCAAACUUUAUAUGGUCAACAACACUGCCGUGAUGGACGGGCCUAAAGGCUGCAAGUUAUCGUGCAUGAGGGGGUUAGGCUAAGGAAUUAUGAUUUGAAGACUCACACAGCAGUGGAAUAUUCCACAAUAUUAUUACUUAUUAUUCUUCAUUUCUGGAUUACAAAUUUCACAGCUACUCAAUGGCGAAGCCAGGAAUUCUCGGAGGAAGGGGCGAACUUAAAAGAGUGCAAGAUUAAAGAAAAAUGACAAUAAACAAAUCUUUUUAUAUAGUAAUGUCUUCUAUAAUUAAUCAAUACAAAGGAAGAGGACUACCCAAAAUACCCAAAGGAUGACUACUCGGAGGAGGACUGCUCGAAAUAUUUGAAGGUGGAGGAGGACUACCCGGAAUAUUUGAAGGAAGAGGAGGACUAUCCAGAAUAUUUGGAGAAGGAUUUAAACACUGUUUUUUAUAGCAUCGUUCCAUUACGUAAUUGUAUAAUGAAAGAAAAAAAAUAUAUCUUAGACUCUUAAUCCUAGAGUAGACUAUAAAGUAAUAUAUAAUCAAACCAAGAAUUUAAUUAAUCAAUUCCAACAAUCAUAUGAAUAAUCAAGAAUUCAAUUUUUAUUCUAAACAACAACUGGUCAUUAGGGUCUUUUAAGUAAUUGAGUAAGUUGAUUAGGGUUUAUAGUGGUUACGGUAAUCAAUUUUUUGUCAUUUGCAAAGCUGCAUUUUAUUUAGGGUUUUAGUUGGUUGAGUUGGGGUUUAUUAUGUUAAUAUAAAUAUGAUGUAAAUGUCUUCACCAUGUUCAGCUGUUUUUUUUCUUGCUAGACCAUGUGUGUAUUCAAGUUCCUAUAUAUAUAUAUAUAUAUAUAUAUAUAUAUAUAUCCUCUUUUAUGUACUUCAAAAAAAAAAAAUCAAUAAUCAUCAUAGUAUUCAUAUAAAUAAUUUAUAAUCAAUAACCAUAUAAUGUAUUACCCUAUAAUCUUAUAUCAAUUAAACAAAAAUUCAGAUUCACUAAUCUAUUAGGGUUUGAAAUAAAUAUAAAUUUAAACAGUAAUAUAAGUAAAAUCAAGUGUUCAAUAACCUAUGCUACCACACUAGUCAAAGUCGCCUAAUGGGACUUGUACGAUUGAACCUAUUGCUCAUCAAUCUAUGCUAGCACAUGAGUCGAAGUCGCCUAAUGCAACAUGUACGACAGAGUUUGGUGUAAUCAUAAUAUACGCUCUAGUGCUACGAUCACGUGAAGACUGGCGCUAUGCGCGGUCACCUACGAGUCGGAGUCGCCUAAUGCGACCUGUAAGACAUGACUGACACCUACUUGGAUCCAAGGUGAGUGUGCAAUGCGGGAGGUGAACAUACAUGUGAAGCACUUGCUCUGGCCCGAGGCGAGCACUAACACCGAGGGGCAGCAAUGAUGAGCAGACUACAUGAAUAUAAGCAUGCCAUAAUGAUGCAAUAAUUCUAAUCAACAUAAUAACAUUCAUAGCCGUAGAUAUAAUUAUGGCAUCAAAGAUUAUAAGCAUACCUAUGCAUCUCGUAGGAUGUAACACGUUUCAUAAAUUCCGUCAUUUCGCUAAUUUUUAUAAACUUUAGUCUAAUCCAGGCAUAGGUAAGAAAUUCUUUUUCAAAUGCAUAAUUGGAAACUAUCAAUCAUAUAUAUACUAUAAAAAGGAAAAGACCCACUCACCUGAAGUCUGCGUUACAACUCCCUAGCACGAAUAUCGAGAUGUCUCGAACAAUCGGCGCCUAGAACAAUGAUCAAAUCAUGUCUCAGAAUUAUUAUCUAUAGAACACGUAACUUACAUAAAAUGCAUCCAAACAGAAUUCUAGAAUGAUUGCUAACCCAUUGACCAAAAGUGAACCAUCGGUCAAAGGUAGAAGGUAGGGUCCACAACCCUAGGUAACUCGAUCAGGAAGAUCCGCACCCUGAAUUUCCAAUCCGUAACUUCCCAAGAGUUUCAAUAAGCUUCCAAAACAACAUCCUAAAGUUUCGGAACGAUCUAAUGGUUGGAUCUUCGCCAAUCGCUAAAAUAAAGUGGCAGUUGACGUUUUAUUUUACGAACUUACAAAUCCAAUUCGGGAAGAUCCAUACGUAGGAUUCCCGAUCCGUAAGUUUCUAAUAUCUUCAAAUAUUAUGUACUAUAACGUAUUAAAGUUUGGUGAUGAUCCAACGGUCAAAUCGUCGAAUCAUAAAUGGUCAAGUGACGUAGUAUUCCAUACUAGGUUCAAACUAUCAAACUAUAACAAACGGUUAUCAAAUUGACAUAAAAUUUGACUCAAAAAGGCAGCGUCAGCCCACUAGCCAUGCUCUGCCGUACAUGGCGGUCGGCCACCCCGACUCGCCGGAAAAUUCAACUAAUUCUAAAAAUUCUAAAAUUUUACUAGAAUGAAAAUCUCAAUGAGUAGAUCAAGUUUUAUACCUGUGGCCAAGUCCAAUUUGGCCGGAAAAAGCUUCAAAUCUCCACGAACCCGCCGGAAACCCUAGAAAAUGGUGGUUGUCGAUUCGGCUUCUUCGGUGCUCCGCUGCUCCAACCAAGCCUUGAGACUGUUCCUAGGUUCAAGAGAAUUCAACCCAUGGUGGUGGUCGACGGAGUUUGUUUCAGAAAUGGUUGAUCGCUGCCGUGAGACCCUCGGCGCCACUCACUCGGUUCCUCAUGAAACUAGGGCUAUAAGCUGUCGAGUUUGGGUGGGAAUUGAAGAGGGAAGAUCGAUGAGUUAGGUGAUGGUGUUGGAUGGCUUCAACAUGCCGGAAAUCCGACAAAAAAAGCAACGGAAAAGUCAAUAGAAACUUGGUCAAAACCCGGGUCAGGUGAGGGUCCGAGUUGGGUGGUCUCAUCUCUUCUCUCCCUUCCAUCCUUUCCUUAUUUCUGAUUGGUCACUCAUUUUUCUUCCUUUUUCCCGAUUGGAAUAGUUUUCUCGCUAUAUGAGCGUGAAAGUUCAACGAUCAAAAGAUGCCUUCUCGAGCUAAAAGCUUGUCUAUUCUUUUCAUUUGUGCAUCUGGGCUUGUAGUUGCGUUGCAAGCGAUUCUCUCUGUCAGGCAUACCUGAUAGUGUCCCCCAUUUUGUUUCGCUUUUGAGCGAAGUCCUUAUUUCUUUUAUGCAAUUUUAUUUCUUCUAUAACAACAUGAUGUUUUCCCCCUUCUAUGGUUGCUCUCCCUCUCUCCCGCCAUUCUCUUCCAAUUGGGCAGCAGGCAUCUUUUUCCUCUCAUUCUCUUUCCGGUUGGCCAAUACUCCCACUCUUUUCUCUCAACUAAUAAUAAAAUAAUAAUAAUAUGAUAACAAAACAAUUUCAAAAUAAUAAUAUAAUAAUUAUGAGAAAUAUAUAAGAUAAUAAAUAGUAAUCUUUACAAGGGUACUUUUUCGAAUUUGUAGUUCUGUAAAAUUUUAACCGUAACUCUAUAUUCGCUUCCGCUUGCCUACGCGUCCGUAUCGUUGAGUACUUCAAGAAUAUGAUAAAUAAUAGCCCAUACGCUUCACGAAAUGAUGGUCAACUGGAGUCAACGAUCUCGCCUCUAAGGGCAUUUUCGUUAAUUCACUCAUUUAAAAUUUAUAAAAACAUAAAAUUAGGGAUGAGUUAUCACAAAAAAUACGUUUGCGCCUUGAAUUGGGUUGGAAAAAUUUCCAAAAUUUUGGGCGAAAAGAGUGACCCAAAACAAAGUCGUAAUUACCAUUACCAUACCAUGCCAACAUAACUAUUUGGCAUGCCAACAUAACUAUUUGGCAUGCCAAAAUUCGGUAUACCAAAAGUUUGGCACAGUAAAGGUAAUAGGUUUUGUCAUACCAAAAGUUUGGUAUGGUAAUUGGUACAUGGGUUUUGGUACAAUAAUCGUACCAAUACCACCCUUAGUGUUAGUUGAAGGUCGUAACAGUUGCAGUGGCAAAUUUUGUAAUUUUUAUUUUUUUUAAAUGCAUUUAAGUAUCAUAAUACAUGAUGAACUUUUUUUAAAUGUAUUUAAGUAUCGUACCAAUAACAUAAAUAUUGUUGAUAUAUUGUCAAUAUUGUAACUUUUUAUUGAUUUUAUACAAAAUCACCCUUUUAUUUAAGAGUAAAUUGUAGCAAUGGUCCAUGAACUUUAAUCAAAUGGGAGCAAUGGUCCCUCAACUAAAAAUCCAUUACUAUUGGUCUCUCAACUUAUCAAAAUGUGUAGCUAUAGUCUUUUUCAUCAAUUUCUUCAAAAUUUUGUCAAAAUAUGUAAUAACCAUUUAUAUAAUUAAGGUCCCUCAACUCAUCAAAGUGUGUAAUUAUGGUCCUUUUCGUCAACUACGUAAAUUUUUUUGUCAAAAUGAGUUAUGUUGGAAGGACCAUUGCUACAAUUAGGUUGAAGUUAAGAGACCAUUUCUCCAGUUGAAUUAAAGUUGAGAGACCAAAGGUAAUGAAUUUUUAGUUGAGGGACCAUAGCUGCACGUUUUGAUGAGUUGAAGGACCAAUGGUAAUGGAUUUGUAGUUGAAGGACCAUUGCUCCAAUUGAGUUAAAGUUAAGGGACCAUAGCUACAAUUUACUCUUUAUUUAAUUGAAACUAAUUUAUAUCCCACUUGAUGAACUUUUUAUGUUCUGAAAAACUUAAACCAUUCAAUUGAAUUAGAAUGCGUGAGAUAUAUGAAUGUUUAGAGGUUAAAACUCUUGAAAUCUUGAACUUUUUUAUUUGUGUUGAAUAGAUUUAGACCGACCAAACUAAACCGAGUCAAGCUAAUUAACUAUGGUUAGGUUUGGUGUAGUUUUAAUGACGGUAUUGGAGGUACAGAACCAAACUGAACCUUUGAGAACUAAUUGAAUCGGCUUUUUUUUUUCUUAUGUCAAACUGAAUCAUACCAAUCCGUACCACCCCUAAUUUAGGAUGUCAACGAACCAGGGUUAAUAAUUUGGAUCCGUGGAAAUGCCCUGAAUCCAAAUAUGGAUGUUGCUCGUAACUGGGCUUUUGCUAGUUCAAAGAAAUAAAUACAAAUAGAAUCGGAGAGGGUCAUUUUCCGGUUGACGAGAAUUUGUCACUUUACGCCGCCUAGCACCAGGCGCCAAUUGCUAUUUAGAUGAGUGUGGUAGUUGAGUAAUGCUAUACUUACCGCUAGUUGUACAAUUAUUUAUAUCAUUUUUUUAAUAGAGAUAGGAAUCCACCAACGUAUAUAUGUCUCAUCUCUCUAAUAGAGAUAAGGCCCGCCAACACAUGUAGGUCUCAUUUCUAUUAACAAAAUAGUAUAAAUGAUGAUAGAACUACGUGAUAAAAGUAGCAUUUUUGUAGUUAUUAUGAUUUCGUUUAAUUAGUUAGUCUGUUAGACAAAACAUUAACUUUUCUAUAUAACAAAGGGGAUAAAACUUGGGUACUGUCUUGUCAGUACCAGACUGACUUAUUAGAUGGCCCAAUAAUUGUCUAAGGGUGAGUUCGGUAUGGUUACCGUACCAAAAUUCUUGUACCAAUUACCGUACCAAACUUUCGGUUUGGUAAAAUCUAUUACCAUUAUCGUACCAAACUUUUGGUAUAAUGAAGUUCGGUAUUGCCAAAAGUUCGGUUGGCAUGGUAUGGCAAUGGUAAUUGCCUUUGCCAUUUUGUUUUAGGACAAAAUCUGUUUUUGUUUUUUUAACCCAAUUCAAGGGCAAAACUUUUUUUUUGUAUCUUUAUCUCAUACAUUAUAGAUUAAAUUCAUCUAUUAUUCAUCAUUCACAAUUCACAUACAUAAUAAUUCAAAUGAUGCAUCAAGAUUCAUCAUGAAAAUUAAGCUUACAAUCCAAAUAGAAGUUAACAAUCCAAAUAGAAAUUAAAGUUUCAAACCAAAUGAAAAUUGGAAGUAAACUUCAAAAAGGAGAAUUCAUUGAUCAUUUAUUCAAGUUUGGGAUGUCGAAGCUUUUGGAGAAGGCAUUGAACUUGUAGAAGAUUGAAUUUGUGUCAAGCCUACAUUACAAACUAAAAAAACAUAUUAAUUAGUAGCAAGAAGAAUUAAAGUUGAAGACCAUUUAAUAACAAAUUUACUAAAAAAAUUAAAGCAUAUCUUUCUUGUUUUCUCUUCUUCCAUUUCUUUGUAAAAUCGAAGCAUAUCAUCUGUUGGUUCCUUGUAGAAGUUUACUUCAUUUGCCCUUAAGCCAACCACUAGUACGCACUAGUGCCUCCAUUAUUUUAAGAGUCAAAGAUACCCUAAAAGGGUCCACAACCCUCCUCCCUAGGCUAAAUGCAUUUUCACCAGCAAUAGUAGAAGUGGGGGUUACAAAGAUAUUAUGGCUAUUUGUGAAAGAAUUAGGAACUCUUUUGUGUUUGAUUUCUUUCCACAAUUUCAAGAGAUCAAAGUCACACACAACAAUGCUAAUAUAAGUAGGGUUUUAUUUUCAAAUUAUUGGAAUAUUAUAAAUAUGUGUUAUAUAAUUAUCUAUUAUAUAAUUUAUAAAUUAUAAAUUGUAUUACAUUUUCGGUAUGGUACGGUAAUACCGUGGUAAUGGUAUCCAUUACCAAUACCGUACCAUGAAAUUUUGGUACGGUAUAAUACCGUACCAUUACCGAUUGGAACAAAAAUUUUGGCAUAAAAUCGGUAUUGUACCGGUUGGCAAUUCGGUUGGUACAGCAAUUUAGCAAAAAAAUCCACCCCUUGUCCACCACCUGUCUUUAAAACUCACAUCCAAAUUCUUGCUAUCCUGAUAACCAAACACCUAUCUUCUUCCUCCCUUCCCUGUGGCAGCCGCUCCGUCAAUCCCAACCUCUCUCCUCCGUCAUCGUUAUUCCUCUGCAAACCCAACCAAACUAUCGCCCUUUCUCUGCAAAUUCGACAAAACCAGUGCACCAACCAAAACCAAUUCUUACAGGUGCCAUGAAUUCGAUUACUCAACGAUUUCAUAAGAUACAAUUAAUCAUCGGUUCUAAAGCUGAUGAACGACGGUGGCUGUUGGUGGUGGGUGAGGACGGUUGUCGAAGGUGCAAAAGACAACAAAGAUGGCGACUCCCAUCUCCAUAUGGGUCUUAUUUUGUUCAUCUUGAAAAGAAAUCAUUUUUUAUUUAAAUUUGCAAUUAUGAUGAAUGGCAGCCAUGGUGGUGAUUGGAAUGGGCGAAGGAAGAUGAAGGAAAAAGAGUGAAAAAGUUGCAGGGAAGAAGAAACGAGGUGUUUGGUUGUGUGUUUCAAGGUGUAUGGUUGUGUGAAUUAUGGGAAAUCAAUUUCAGGUGACCGAAGCUAAGUAGUCUUAAAUUAGUCCAUAUUAUUUUCGUUAAUUGUUUUUAGCGGGUAUUCGCCUAGACCCCCCCCCCCGGCCCUUUCCCCGUGUUAGUUUUAUUUUUUUUUUUUCUUCAUAUUAUUAAUAAAAUCUUGUAGAGGGGGACGGGUGGGGGGUUUCUGGGUGCAACGGUCCUUUCUCUUUUGGAAGAGGAUUGGUGCCUCGUACGCAACUGUUGACGAAGAGCUAAUCUCACCUAAUCCGUCUCUACAAAAAAAUUUUUUUUUUUUAAAAAGUGUAUGGUUGUGUUUAAGAGAAUUCUUAGAACACAGGUGUCCUCAGUUUAGUGGGCCACAUAAGCAAGUCAGCAGUGGAAUUAUUUUGAUUACGUUAACGUCUCACUGACUUCGUAGUUUUCUCUGUAUCCAAACACUCUCAUCAGUUCGGUUUUUUCAUUCUUUUCAUGGUAUCAGGCACGAUUGUGCCCCGCAGUUGUUGAUUACAAUCUUCAUUGUCUCUAUUUCUCUUCAGGUUCUUCAUUUAUCCGUCUCUAAUUUUGAUUGAGACUGAAAAUUGCAGACAACUACCCCCGUGCCCAUCGGGUUCCCAAUAAAUGUCUCUGCAUGUUGAUUUUCCAAGGAGGAAAGAGGUAAUUGCAUAGCAAACAUAACAUUUUUUUCUUAUGUUUGAAGAAAAACUACAUGCAUGCGGUAAGUACAUAAUCUAAAUUGCAGAGCCGUCUCAAUGCAAACUUAAUCCUAAGACGAAAAUAAAAUGAGGUUUUUCUAAUUUAGUAUGUGGUUUUUUUAUAGGCUAGUUAAAUUAUAAAACUUUUCAAUUCAAUCCACCACCAUCUCCACACCAAAGUAAAUUUAACCAUUUAAGGCACAUUAAAUAAGAUUUAGGAAAAUAGUGGAAGACUUCAUAAUCAACAACAGUCGCAGAGCCACAAAGAUGCAAAAAUUUUGUUAAUUACCUAUUUGAAUCUUAUGCACAAUAAAUAGAACCUUAAGGUUAGUUUCCCAUUUGAUUUCGUUUCCUUGUUGACUCUUAAUCUCGAUAGAUUACAAUGUUGAAAGCAACUCCAUAGGAUAAAGAAGAGGGCACCAAAUUUCGCCUCUACAAUAAGAUCUCCUUAUCAUGAAACAAUUAGUAUAAUCUCACUCCAAAAAUGGAUGUUGAUUGUUGUACCAAAAGAAGGUUCAAUUUUGACAGUAAUAAAAGAACAUACACAGCUGAUGAAAACGAGAGACAGCUAACUAGCUCGUGCAUGAGAGCGUGCGAAGAGGCUAGCAAUACUGUGCUUGUAAAAAGAGAUGGAUAUCGCGGUCAUGCCAUACAUAUGAUGUCAUAAUUCACACACCGGAUGGUUUUAUUUUAUUUAUUUUAAAAGAUAAGUUCAUACUACAUUAUUUUCAGUACCACAACAACAACAACAACAACAAAGCCUUUUUCCCACUAAGUGGGGUCGGCUAUAUGAAUCCUAGAACGUCAUUGCGCUCGGUUUUGUGUCAUGUCCUCCGUUAGAUCCAAGUACUCUAAGUCUUUUCUUAGGGUCUUCCAAAGUUUUCCUAGGUCUUCCUCUACCCCUUCGGCCUUGAACCUCUAUCCCAUAGUCACAUCUUCGAACCGGCGCGUCAGUAGGCCUUCUUUACGCAUGUCCAAACCACCGUAACCGAUUUUCUCUCAUCUUUCUUUCAAUUUCGGCUACUCUUACUUUACCUCGGAUAUCCAUAUUCCUAAUCUUAUCUUUUCUCGUGUGCCCACACAUCCAAUGAAGCAUCCUCAUCUCCGCUACACCCAUUUUGUGUACGUGUUGAUGUUUCACCGCCUUCAGUGGCCUAUGAUGGUCACACAACACGUCGGAUGCACUCUCCCACUUCAUCCAUCCAGCUUGUAUUCUAUGGUUGAGAUCUCUAUCGAAUUCUCCGUUCUUUUGCAAGAUUUGCUAAUCCCCCGUUGUUUCUUUUUCAUGUUUUUUUUUUUUUUUAGUUACUGACUUUGUUUCUAUUUGUGUCUUUUAUUUUUACUUAUGAUAUUUGAUUUAGUUUUGUUUCCUUGAUUUCAAGUACUAGAGAAGUAAGACAUGGAUUUUGCUACCAUUCAAGCUCAAUUGGCGAAACUUACUUCUCAAUUGUCACAAUAUGCCGAAGGGACCACAAUGCAAAGUGUCCCUACAGAUGGUGUGUCCUAUGGGCAAGGAUAUCCAACUCAUCAAUGUUCUCAAUUCGCUACGAAUGAAGAUGCUUGGGGUUAUCAAGGCCAUAGCCAAUCAAGGGACAACAUGUUUUCCAACGCUUACAAUUCGGAUUGGAGAGAUUAUUUAGAUUACAUGUGUGGAGAACCGCAACAAUUCCAACAAGAUGGAUAUUGGCAGCAAGAAGAGGAGUUCUAUCACUGGUCAUAUGAACAAUCUGCCCAAUUCCAUUCGGGUACAUCUUUGGAUAAUGAUAUGUUUAAUAAGUUACUCACCUCUUUGAACCAGGAUGUAGAAAUCCGAAACAAAGAGGUGCAAAAUCAAGCCAAGAAGACGGGCGAAUUGGAAAAGCAAUUUGGGCAAAUUAUGGAGUUCACGGCACAAAUUCAAGAGCAAAGUGAACUCUCCAACUCAACUGUUGAAAAUUUGAAGGGAGAUUUUGAAAUCCAUGAUGCUAUCACUUUGGGAAGUGCUAUGGAGGUUGGAGGUGAACCCAAGACGUCCAAACUAAGCCAAAACAUGGGUGAACAGCUGCUGCUCGAAGAAGAGGAGAGUAACAAGGCCACUACAAGGAAAGAAUCAAGUAUCACCUUCCAUUUAAGGAUCAAUUCCGUGCUAUGGGCCCUAUUUAAGUUUAGAAGGAAGUUUCGUCCGGUUGAAGGACGUUAAAGUCAGCGCUUCUUGGAAGGCAACCCAUGUAUUCAAAUAAGGAAGAUUUUUGAAUCGCUUCACAAUCAGUUUUGCGUUUCUAAAAACCUUCCAUUUUCUGCAUUUCUAUUUUGCCUUGAUUGUCAUUUUUUUUUAUUUAUUUAUUUAAUUUUUGUUGUUUAUUUAAUUAUUUUUGGGUGUGGGUUUAUUUUUGAAACAUUGACAGAUCUGCAAGGUAUUCUUACAUUCAUUUUCAUGAAAAAAAAAGGAACAUUAAGCAGAAAAUUACACAAACAAGAAGGAGUUUUCAUUGGUCAGGAGGUGUAACAGCAGUUGAAGGAACAUCAGAAAGACGAAGUGUCAGAGCUUGAUUGUCCGGAGCACUUGGUGAAGCACCAGAUGAUGAAGACAGAAGUUGCCUCGGGAGUAAAGCCAUAAACCUUUGAUGAUCACUCCGGGCCCGAACUUCAGCCUCCUGCAGCUGGUCCAACUUCAUCUUCAUGCUCGUUGAGUAACUAGUUGCGAGCAUGUGCAACUCUUUAUUUUCAUGCCUAAGCGUUUUGACCUCUUGCCGAAGGCUAGCCACUUCAGCCAUCAACGACUCAACUUGACGAGAUCGAGCAAGAAGGCGUUGGCCCAUGUUUGAUACUGAGCCUGCACACUAGACGCUGAAAGCUAAAGAAUCAUGAAUAGCCUGCUCAUCAGACCGCUUAGAUAGCAUCCUACUGUCUCGUGGAAUGAGAAGAUUUCUAGCAACCACUGCAGCUGUUGCAUCAUUUCUCAUCACAGUGUCCCCAACUGUAAGAGGACCGUUGGAGGAUAUGAAGGAUGGUUGCCAAAUGUUACCUGGAGAAGAGAGGUCAAUAUCUUCUUCGAUAUUCAAGUCAAUACGACGGUCGGAGGGGCCAGACAUUUUCAGAGGUGUUAAAGAAAGAAGAGGUCAGACAAGUCAAGAUCGUCGAAGUGCAAGAAGGGAGUUUUCACAGGCAGAAAUUCAUAUGUGCUUUGAACAUCCUGCGUACCUCUAUAAAAAACAGCACGCGAUAGGAUUUUAGAGAUCGAAGAGGCGAGUUCAAAGAUCGAAGAAGCGUCUGCUUUCUCCAAAGCUAGGCCUACUCCGGAAUCACGGGCUGAUAUCAGAAAUCGAAGAAGUGUCAGCUUUGUCAGCACUCGUCAGCACCCGUCGCACGCAAACUCAGCUUUGCGAAAAUCACAGAAAAGUUGUCGAAGCAUCGAUCUCAGAUAGCGAAGAUGCGCCUGUCUUUCUCAGCCUCGUCAGCUUUGCGAAAAUCACGGAAAGUUUGUCGAAGCGCCGAUUCCAAACCAUCUGUCUUUCUCAGCCUCGUCAGCUUUGCGAAAAUCACGGAAAGUUUGUCGAAUAGCCGAUUCCAACCGCCUGUCUCUCUCAGCCUCGUCAGCACUUAUCACAUGCAGAGAAAGCUUUGAGGAAAUCACGGGCAAUCUGUCGACGAUUUCUGUUAAAGUAGAAAACACGUGAAGUUUACUGUUUAAUCAUCCAACGAUUGCCGACAGGAGUGAAAGAACAGUACCGGUUAUUAUUUCCUACAAAUGUCGACCUUCACGCUCCAUGACAAGGCAGACAUACAUAACAUUCCGUCAUCUCCGAGAAAUGGCUUUCCAACAAACCCUCUCGACUCACUCAGUGUUCUUUAUCCCAUGGGAUACCUCUGCAAACACAUCUUCAAAAGCAAAAGUAUUUCAUAUCAUGAAGGUAGAAAGCAAGAGUAUCUCAUAUCAUGCAUUCUCCGUGUCCUUUUCCUUGUCUUUGUUCUAACCUGUAGGACAAGGAGAAGGAAAGCAAUCAGCCAGCACUUGGUAUCAAUCUUCUGAUCUGGAACCGACUGCUUGGAACCCCUUCCUGAUUGCUUACAUGGUAUUGCUCUCGAGUACUCGUCUUCCACAGGCAGAUGUGGUAGACGAAGAGGAAGCAUAAGAUGAUAAAGAUGAGUACUCAAGAGUAAGGCUAGGAGAACAGAUAAGGAAAUACAGUAUGCGCAAUCAAUCCAGCAGAAGAAGUCUGAAAUGAAGAACUCGAGAAGCUUCAAUUCAAGAUCAAAGCUGUGGAAAGUCAAAAAAUCACAUCCAGUUGUGAUUCAUAAGUUGUGAAUUCAAUUUACUUAUUCGUUCGUAUAAAAAUUGAUUUGUGUAUAUGCUGCGAUUCAUAAGUUGUGAAUUCAAUUUACUUAUCCGUUCGUAUAAAAACUAAUUUGUGUAUAUGCUUAUGUUUUUCAUAAAACUUAAUGAUUAUUGCUUGUAUCUUUAUUAUGCAAUUCAUGUAGGGAACUUGUAGGGAAUGUUUUGGGUUGUCGUAUGCAAUCAUCCAACUAUAUGAAUCUUAGAACGCCAUUGUGCUCGGUCCUGUGUCAUGUCCUCUGUUAGAUCCAAGUACUCUAAGUCUUUUCUUAGAGUCUCUUCCAAAGUUUUCCUAGGUCUUCCUCUACCCCUUCGGCCCUGAACCUCUGUCCCGUAGUCGCAUCUUCUAACCGGAGCGUCAGUAGGCCUUCUUUGCACAUGUCCAAACCACUGUAACCGAUUUUCUCGCAUCUUUCCUCCAAUUUCGGCUACUCCUACUUUACCUCGGAUAUCCUCAUUCCUAAUCUUAUCCUUUCUCAUGUGCCCACACAUCCAACGCAACAUCCUCAUUUCCGCUACACCCAUUUUGUGUACGUGUUGAUGCUUCACCGCCCAACAUUCUGUGCCAUACAGCAUCGCCGGCCUUAUCGCGGUCCUAUAAAAUUUUCCCUUGAGCUUCAGUGACAUACGGCGGUCACACAACGCCGGAUGCACUAUUCCACUUCAUCCAUCCAGCUUGUAUUCUAUGGUUGAGAUCUCCAUCUAAUUCUCCGUUCUUUUGCAAGAUAGAUCCUAGGUAGCGAAAACGGUCGCUCUUUGGUAUUUCCUGAUCACCGAUCAUCACCCCUAACUCAUUUUGGCCUCCAUUUGCACUGAACUUGCACUCCAUAUAUUCUGUCUUUGAUCGGCUUAGGCGAAGACCUUUAGAUUCCAACACUUCUCUCCAAAGGUUAAGCUUCGCAUUUACCCCUUCUUGAGUUUCAUCUAUCAACACUAUAUCGUCUGCAAAAAGCAUACACCAAGGAAUAUCAUCUUGAAUAUGUCUUGUUAACUCAUCCAUUACCAACGCAAAAAGGUAAGGACUUAAGGAUGAGCCUUGAUGUAAUCCUACAGUUAUGGGGAAGCUUUCGGUUUGUCCUUCAUGAGUUCUUACGGCAGUCUUUACUCCUUCAUACAUAUCCUUUAGAGCUUGGAUAUAUGCUACUCGUACUUCUUUCUCCUCUAAAAUCCUCCAAAGAAUGUCUCUUGGGACCCUAUCAUACGCUUUUUCCAAAUCUAUAAAAACCAUGUGUAAAUCCUUUUUUCCAUCUCUAUAUCUUUCCAUCAAUCUUCGUAAGAGAUAUAUUGCCUCCAUGGUUGAGCGCCCUGGCAUGAACCCAAAUUGGUUGUCCGAAACCCGUGUCUCUUGCCUCAAUCUAUGUUCAAUGACUCUCUCCCAGAGCUUCAUUGUAUGACUCAUUAGCUUAAUACCCCUAUAGUUCAUGCAAUUUUGUACGUCACCCUUAUUCUUGUAAAUAGGCACCAAAGUGCUCUUUCGCCACUCAUUUGGCAUCUUCUUCGUUUUCAAAAUCCUAUUAAAAAGGUCAGUGAGCCAUGUUAUACCUGUCUCUCCCAAGCCUUUCCACACUUCGAUCGGUAUAUCGUCUGGGCCCACUGCUUUUCUAUGCUUCAUCUUCUUCAAAGAAACAAUCACCUUUUCCUUCCUGAUUCGACGAUAAAAUGAGAAGUUUCUACACUCUUCUGAGUUACUCAACUCCCCUAAAGAAGUACUCUUUUCAUGUCCUUCAUUGAAAAGAUUAUGAAAAUAACCCCUCCAUCUGUCUUUGACUGCGUUCUCUGUAGCAAGAACCUUUCCAUCCUUAUCCUUGAUGCACCGCACUUGGUUUAGGUCUCUUGUCUUCUUUUCCCUUAAUCUAGCUAGUUUAUAGAUAUCCAACUCUCCUUCUUUGGUGUCUAAUCGCUUAUACAUAUCGUCAUAAGCCACUAACUUAGCUUCUCUCACAACUUUCUUCGCCUCUUGCUUUGCUUUUCUAUACCUUUCACCAUUUUCAUCGGUCCUAUCCUUGUAUAGGGCUUUACAACAUUCCGUCUUAGCCUUCACCUUUGUUUGUACCUCCUCAUUCCACCACCAAGAUUCCUUUUGGUGUGGAGCAAAGCCCUUGGACUCUCCUAAUACCUCUUUUGCUACUUUUCGGAUACAACUAGCCAUGGAAUCCUACCUCUGGCUAGCGUCCCCCUCUCUAUCCCACACACACUGGGUGAUUACUUUCUCUUUGAAAAUGGCUUGUUUUUCUCCUUUUAGAUUCCACCAUCUAGUCCUUUGGCACUUCCAAGUCUUGUUCUUUUUUCUCACUCUUUUGAUAUGUACAUCCAUCACCAACAAGCGAUGUUGAUUAGCCAAGCUCUCUCCCGGUAUAACUUUGCAAUCCUUACAAGUUUUACGAUCCCCUUUCCUCAUUAGAAGAAAAUCUAUUUGUGUUUUUGACGACCCACUCUUGUAGGUGAUCACAUGUUCUUCUCUCUUCUUAAAGAAGGUGUUGGCUAAAAAGAGAUCGUAUGCCAUUGCAAAAUCCAAGAUAGCUUCCCCAUCCUCGUUUCUCUCCCCAAAACCAUGGCCACCAUGAAAACCGCCAUAGUUGCCUGUCUCCCUGCCCACGUGUCCAUUUAAAUCUCUUCAUAUAAAUAACUUCUCCAUCUGGGCAAUUCCUUGCACCAUGUCUCCAAGGUCUUCCCAAAAUUUCUCUUUCGAACUCGUAUCCAACCCUACUUGAGGUGCGUACGCACUAAUCACAUUGAUGAGUUCUUGUCCUAUUACAAUCUUGAUUGCCAUGAUUCUAUCUCCUACCCUCUUGACAUCUACAACAUCUUGUGUCAGGGUCUUGUCCACGAUGAUGCCAACACCGUUUCUCGUUCUAUUUGUGCCCGAAUACCAAAGUUUAAACCCUGAGUUUUCUAGAUCCUUUGCCUUAAGACCAACCCACUUAGUUUCUUCUAGGCACAUAAUAUUUAUCCUUCUCCUCACCAUAACUUCCACUACUUCCAUAGAUUUUCCCGUUAAGGUUCCUAUAUUCCACGUUCCUAAACGCAUUCUACUCUCUUGAACUCUACCAUUCUGUCCUAGCUUCUUCACCCUCCCUCGUCUAAUAGGAUUAAAGUACUUCUUUUGUGUGUCCUGUGUAAAGUUGAUAGGAGCAUAUGCUCCCAAACAACUUUGAGUGGAGUCGUUCGAAAAGAAGUUUCUAUGGCCCCCUUGCUCAUUUAACACUGCAUCCGGGUGCCGAUGGAGAUACACCCUUGCUCACUUAACACUGUGCUCGGGCCACACAGCGCGCCACAUGCGGCAAGUACAUAAUCUAAAUUGCAGAGCCGUCUCAAUGCAAACUUAAUCCUAAGACGAAAAUAAAAUGAGGUUUUUCUAAUUUAGUAUGUGGUUUUUUUAUAGGCUAGUUAAAUUAUAAAACUUUUCAAUUCAAUCCACCACCAUCUCCACACCAAAGUAAAUUUAACCAUUUAAGGCACAUUAAAUAAGAUUUAGGAAAAUAGUGGAAGACUUCAGAAUCAACAACAGUCGCAGAGCCACAAAGAUGCAAAAAUUUUGUUAAUUACCUAUUUGAAUCUUAUGCACAAUAAAUAGAACCUUAAGGUUAGUUUCCCAUUUGAUUUCGUUUCCUUGUUGACUCUUAAUCUCGACAGAUUACAAUGUUGAAAGCAACUCCAUAGGAUAAAGAAGAGGGCACCAAAUUUCGCCUCUACAAUAAGAUCUCCUUAUCAUGAAACAAUUAGUAUAAUCUCACUCCAAAAAUGGAUGUUGAUUGUUGUACCAAAAGAAGGUUCAAUUUUGACAGUAAUAAAAGAACAUACACAGCUGAUGAAAACGAGAGACAGCCAACUAGCUCGUGCAUGAGAGCGUGCGAAGAGGCUAGCAAUACUGUGCUUGUAAAAAGAGAUGGAUAUCGCGGUCAUGCCAUACAUAUGAUGUCAUAAUUCACACACCGGAUGGUUUUAUUUUAUUUAUUUUAAAAGAUAAGUUCAUACUACAUUAUUUUCAGUACCAGAUGGAUAAAAUUAGACAGCAAUUGCAAAGAGAAACUUUAAUGAUUAAACCCAAAUAUCUGAAGUGCAGUCACCACCAGGAUAUCUCAUUUCAUGGGCUAGGGAAGGACCAUCCGGUUCAGCUCCAAAGUCGACGAAAAAGUUCGGGUUUAAUGCAAGACCACCCUUCUCAGUGUCAACAUCAAGCUGUAGCAUGUGAGAUCCUUUCUCCAGAAGGUCGGGGUAAAAUUGGCGAUCCCAUGUACUGAAAAGGGAGUUGGUGACAUAAAGCCGCUUCCCAUCCAAACUUAACUGGAUCAUCUGAGGUCCACCUCUCAACUUUUUCCCCUGAAUGGAAGACAUGAACUCAUCAAUCAAUGUUAAACAGUAAAACGAAAUUUCCGGCAUGAAAUAUCUUUGAGAACUACUAUCAAGCAUGGCAACUAUGAAUGUACUUAUGCCUCAUAAAAGCUAGAUGUAUCUAUCUUUUUAUACUACAAUCAUGUGGUGAAUGAGACUUGUACAUGAGAAGAAGAUAGAACAUGUGAUGCAUGGGAAAUGCUGCAAAGAGAUGAUAACAUUUCAUGUCAAGGCUAUGCACUAUAAUUCACACCCGCUAUUCACCCCUUACUCGGUUCAAAACUGAAAACCGAGAGAGUUGGUGCGGAAAGACAUUAACCUAGGAUCUUGAGUACAUCUUAUUUUCUUAGCAAUUACACUCUACAUUGGACAGGAGAGUGACUAUAUCAACAAUAUUCUGAUGCCUUUUUUUUUUUUUUGAGAAGAAUAUUCUGAUGCCUUUUAUUAGACAAUAGCAUGUAAAAUGGUGAGCAAAAUUUUGGUACAGGACUGCUAAGAUACAGCAGGCAAACCAACUCUUAAUCCACAGAAAAAAAAGACUUAAAAGUGAUAGUAAGGAAUACUAAUUGAUACCGAAAGUUAUCAGAAGAAGAUCGCACAGACCUGGAUCUCUGGGACGUCAAACUGCUUUGUUGUACCAUCUUCAGCCUCAGCAACAACUGGGCAUCCCUUUUGGAUUAGCCCCCCAACCCAUAUUUGGCCCGUCAGCUUAGGAUUUUUGGGGUCCUCAAUGUUAUACUGUCUCACAUCUCCAUGAAGCCAGUUCACAAAGUAUAGAAAACGAUCAUCAAGUGAGAUCAGAAAAUCAGUUAUAAGCCCAGGCAUCUCCGGAAGAAUCCAGUUCUGCACCUUCAAUGGUUUCACUGAUAUUGCAACCUGGAAAAAUGUAUUAGGAUUUAUUGGGUACUCCGGACCUAGUACUUUAAUUUUUUCCAAAACAUAAAAGAAAAUAAGGAUUCAAAAGACAGUAAGAAUGAAUCGAAUUACCUCAUGGCUCCACGAACCAUCAUCUGUCUUGAAGAAUCGCACCAUGUUACUUGUCAAGGCACACCCAACAAAUCCAGUGUCCUUAGAAGGAUCAUGCAGGAACCUUAUCUGCAAACAGUGAGAUUCAGUUAUAAAACAGAUCCAGAGUCGCCUGAUGUCUUUAUAUAGGAAAAUAAACUGUGAAAACGAGUACUGCUGAAUGUUGAUUAAGUUUAUACAACUCGCCUCCAAGGGUAAGAGUCCUGUAUUUCCAAGAUCCAAUGUUUGUUUCAAUUCACCUUCUGGCCAGCUGUAUACAUGAAGAUGCCUCCCAUACAGUCCAUCCGAGACAUGCUGAGGGUUGAAACCUUUAGUGAAAGCAGCAGGGGCACCCCAUGAUGUGCUUAUCAUUGUCUUGUGUCGCGGCUGGUACCAGAAAUCAUAGCCAAAAAGUGGACUGUGCCCUGGUUUCUCCCACCUGUCAGAUGUUAGGAUAUCUAUAUGUAAUCAAAACUGUGGAAGUGGCAGAUGUCUUCAACCUACCAAGGCUACCAUGCAACCAAGCCCAGAGAAGUGGGGUUCGAUCUCUUUCAAAUGUUUAAUAAGGAUGCACAUAAAUGUUAGGUAUGAUCAAUCUCAUGUUCCAUGUUUAUAUUGUCAACAUAUAAACUCAAAUUUUACGAUAUUGAUGUGUGUGGGAAUCAGUCAAUUCCACAUGGUGUUAUAUGACAGUUUCUUCAAAAUCUACAAUAAAUGAAUUGAGGUUUCCAGCGGAAGGUCAUACCUGCCCUUCACAUUAAACUCAGAGUCAAGGAGAAGAAAUCCAUUUCCUACAGCAUUGCCAUCUUUAUCUCCUAGGCAAGAAACCAGUAGAUCGCCCGAAGCAAGGCAAUGGGAUGUGUGUGGAUAUGCCAAUCCAGUCUUCUGAACAAUAUCUGCAGGGUCAACAACUUUAUGCAAAGAGGGAGCCUUCGGGUUUGUUUUUGUGUCUAUCACAUAUAUACGACCAGAUCUGAAAGAUAAAAUAGGAUUAAUAAGAAGUGCAAUACUUUGGCCUACACAUAUAUACAAGCUUGAAAGACCUCACUCAGAAUCUUACAGAAAAGAGCCGGUAAUGCUUAAGUGAUAUUUAAAGCAUGCAGAACUUGUCAAAUAAUAGGGAGUAGCAAGUAUAUAUAAACAUUAAUUGAUGUCACUUAUAUUACUAUAUGUUCCAUCAAUUCACAACAUUGGUCUCUGUGUAAGAAGAUGCUGAUUUUUUAAACUUUCGGAUAGUUGAUUUUGACACUCCGGUCAGGCCAAACAUGAUGAUCGAAAUGCUUAUGUUUGUUUCGAGGGAAAUUUCAAAACUUCAACCAAGGAUGUCAUUCCUAGACAAACAAUCUUAAAAAUGCUCCAAAUACUUAAUCAGCUAAUGAAAUUCGUAUCUCCUGUACUAUGAGAAAUGGUAAAGAAAUCACAGGUAGCAGAAGACAAAAUGUUCAGUAGAACAGCUUCAACUGCUCGAUUACAUGUAAAGCCUCAGUUUUAGAUGAAAUUAAGCAUAGUGAAUCGCAACAUCAUGAAAAAUAAGUGAUACUCCAAACUAUUUGCGAUCUUUCCUUUCACCAAGGUUGCACCACAUCAACAUACAUCAAUUGUGCUUUUAAUAAACAUUUUCAGAUCGAGGAGGUUCCAGCUUGAAAAUUUUGAUCUGUGCGGAUUCUUCUCAAAUUUCUUUUCGUUUAUCCUUAACCAUUUCAGACUGGCUGCCUAACAAGAAAUUUCACUUGCUUAACUUCAUAAGAACUACUUUUUCAAUUAAGACCAAACAGUAUAACAGUCCAUGCAACAUGAAAUUUAGUAUCUUACAUUAAUGCAGGUAGUACAAGGAAACGCCGUUCUGCAGAUGGAUCUCCAUGGCAAGAGCUGCACGAGUUCCAGCCAGUGUGAUGCAGUUCAUCACCUAAAUGCGGCACGGGCAGCCUGUGGAUUACUUUGGAAUAAGUAGGCGAACUUGGAUCGACAUCAACCGUGGCAAGGUAAUCCGGCUUCUCUAUUCCCGUUCCUAAUUUGCAAUAGCAUUUCGAAGAAUUAACAUCAAUUUUACAUCUUCAUUGCCAAAUGCAAGCAGAAAAACAGUCCAUGUAUAUAAUUCUUUAUAAGCAAUAAUUUAAAGAAACAAUAAAAUUUGUAGAAUUAUCAGAGAAACGGGCCAAAAACCCACUUCCAACAAACACCGAUACUAUCCCAACUUAAUAAUUACCACUUGCCCAAUCCAUUAGGGGUAAGAUUUUAUCAUAAAAGCCACAGUGUUAAUUAGAGUGAAGUUAGAAUAUUUAAACUAUUAAAUUUGCUUUUACUAUAAUCAAACACGCCCUCUCCCAUGAAAUCCAAUUAAUGAGUUCCAUACAUUGACAAUCACGUGGAACAAGGCACGCCGAGCCAAGGGACCAAAGGACCCACCAUCAUCGCCACGUGGAGCCAAGGCAUGUGGGGCCAAGGGAUCCAAGGACCCACAAUCAUUGCCUUUAUAGAAUUAUUAAAGAGACGGAUCAAAGACUCACCUCUAACAACAUCGAUAUUAUCGUCAACUUGAUAAUUACCAUUUGUCUAAUUCAUUAGGUGAAAGGUUUUAUCACAAAAAACAUCAAUAUUAGUUAAAAUGAAAUUAGAAUAUUUAAACUUAUUACUUUUCUUUUACUAUGUCGAUGUGGGAUUCAACAAAAUUAAGGAGAUAAAGUUCAUAAAUCCCUUCAAAGUUCAAAUCUUUUACUUGUAACCUAACCAAUUUAAGAUUUUACUAUAAAUUCAGAAAAAAAAAAAACAGAGAACAAAUUAAAAAUUAAAAACCCAAAUCACAGAAGAUAAUUUGUUUGUUAAUUUUAUUUUAUGCAAGAUGUAUGUACAACGAGGGUGGGGGAGUAAGUUUCUACCCAUGAUUCAACGGAGAAGAAAUGAAGGCUUGAAUAUUUGUGAUGAGGGAAAAAGUGCAAUCGGGUACCUGAGUAAACGGCAGUUACAUAGAUGAGAGCCUCUCUCGGACCAGCCAUGGCGUCGAGCGGGGUGGCGUACCCGGGCCCACUUUUGCAGCACGCUCCUCCAUUGCCCAGGCUCUUCCCUACCGUUCCGUGUUGCAGCACCGCCACGUCCGUUGCCAUCUCUCUCUCUCUCUCUCUAAAACGCGCGCUUUCUCUGUCUCUCUCUCUGGCUCUGAUCAGAUGAAGAAGAUGAACAGAAUAAUCACGGAGUGAACAAAGCCAUUGGGAUGGGCAAAAUACAUAUACAACUCUUCUGAUGACGUGGCAGAGUUCAAUAAGCCGGUUUUAUCUGUAUGUGGUCUACAUUUUUGUCUUGAUGCGCAUGGUAUACAUCUCUUUGAUGACGUGGCAGAGUUCUAUAAACCGGUUUUAUCUGUAUGUGGUCCACAUUUUUGUCUUGAUGCGCAUGGUAUUUCACGGAAAUGGAUUUUCUUCUAAUUCAUUCAUUCUAAUUUACUAAAUUAGAGGAUUCGUAUAGUUGAAAAUUAAUCUAACGAUUUAAGUUAUUAUAACUUUUAAAAUAAGUUUUUAUUUGUAGCUGUUUGAUCAAAUUUCAAUGAUACGAAUCCUUUAAUUUGGUGAAUUAGGAGAAAGAGAUCCGACGAGGAUCCCUUUUCCGUAUUUCACUGCCCAGUUUCGAUUAGUACGGUAACAACCACACCACGUGUCAUAAGAGAAUUGGAUAGAGAAUAAUAACCACAUGAGUAUUCUACUACUCUGUACCAUGGAUUUAAAUAUCGAUAUUAUCGGCGAAAUAUCGCCGAUAAUAUCGAUUUUUCGGGUAAUGGAUAUUUAAACUGGUUUCCGUGUAGUUUUCGUCCAAAUAUCGUGAUAUUAUCGAUAUUAUCGAUAAUAUCGCGAUAUUUUGGAAAUAUCGAGAAAUUUCGUUGAAUGGUGCAAUCGGAUUCCGAUAUCGGACGCCGGAGAAGAACGCCGGAGAUGGUGUGCCUGUUCCCGAGCCCAUUUCGUCCCAAAAACCUUGCAAAAACACGAAUUUUAACUUAAAUUUCACAUAUAUACUCCAAAUUUCACGCAUGCAUCAACGAUUCAACAUAUGUGAUAUCGGUUUAGGGCUUAGGGUUUCAAUGGAAUCUCACCUGAAAUAUCGAUGACUGGGCCAACUCCUUGCUCAGCGGCGCACCACCAGAGACGACUGAGGGAGAAGAAGAAGGAUGGAGAGACUGAGGGAGAAGGAUGGACGGAGAGACUGAGGGAGAAGGAUCGAGAUCGAGGCUGAAGGAGAAGGAUAGACGGACGGAGAGACUGAGGGAGAGAAGGAUCGAGAUCGAGGCUGAGGGAGAAGGAUGGACGGACGACGGAGAGACUGAGGGAGAGAAGGAGAGACUGCGUGUGUGGUGUGUGCGUGUGUGGUCUGUGCGUGUUUUGCAGAGAAUAAGAGACUGAGGGAGAGAAGCAGAGAAAGGGAGAGCCUGGGAAAGUGGAGAGAAAGAGAGGACUGAGAGAGAAGAUAGAUGUGAAGGAUGGGGAAUCGGGAUGGAGGGGAGGUCACACCACACACGUGGUGCUGAAAUGGGGAAGCAUGCUGCACCUUCAAAGUUUCAAUUUCAACCACCCACCCAACCAUGAUUUUUACUUUUAAUUUUAAAAAGUUAAAUAUAACCAUUCAAAAUAUCUUAAGUUAUAUGACUUAAUGUAUUUUUAAAUUAUAGAUUUGUUGGAUAUUCUUUUUACAUUUUAUCAUUCGAUUUAUUUGUGGGCUAACGAGGGAAACCAAACUAGCACAUAUGAACAAUAAUUAGUAAUUUAUUUAGAGUUUUAAUACUCACAUCCUUAUUAAACUCCUAAUUAAUUUUCAAUUCAAACAUUUCAAAUAUAUAAAAAAUAAGAAUAAGAAUAAGUUUGUACCCAUUAAUUUUUAUAAAAAAAAAUUGAUAUGUACCCGUUAUAAGAAUAAGUCACUCAUGUAUCUUACCAUGCAAUAUAUAAAGUGUAAAAUAUUGUACUAAUUCAUUAUAUAUAAAUGAUUAUGGUGUGUUUAAACUUCUUUCAUUAAUUACUACAUAUAUAAAUGAUUAAUUACUACAUAUUUUCUACACUCACAAUGUUUGUCAGCUCGCUAUAUAAUCAACUUGAUAAUGUUAAAUCCAUCAUGCAAUGCAUUUCCUUCCAAUUUUUGUGAUAAACUAAUAGAUAAUUGACUAAAUAAACAUCCUGCAAAGUUUCAAUAAAAAUUUCCAAGUUUUUCUUACAAUUUCCGUGGUUUCCAUGUAAUUUUUAUCGAUAUCGAUAUUUUAUCGAUAUUUCCGUCGAUAUUUCCGUGUUUUCGGACUACCGAUAUUUCCGAUAUUACCUGUUUGUACCAUACUUGACCAAUCCCGAAACUACCGAGCACCGGCCAACGCUAUACUGUCAAGGACCCAGAAGAGUUCCCCUCCGACCAGGAGGCCAAUCACUACUCGACACGUGUCAAGAUUAGAAGCCAAUCAGAGCGCAGCACGUGUCGACAUCAAGAACCAAUCAUAACAUGACACAUGUCAAUGUGACAAAGCUACAAGUUUUUCUAUAAAUAGGGGUCAUUCCCCCACAAUAUUGCCUAAUGCCAUUUGUGUUAAAUCAUUCAUAAGAACUCACUAAAUUGAGAGCUUGAUCCUUUGUACUUGUGUAAGCCCUUCACUACUAAUAAGAACUCCUCUACUCCGUGGACGUAGCCAAUCUGGGUGAACCACGUACAUCCUGUGUUUGCUUCUCUGUCUCUAUUCAUUUACGUACUUAUCCUCACUAGUGACCGAAGCAACCAAGCGAAGGUCAUAAAACUUGACACUUUCUGUUGUACCAAAGUCUUCGCUGAUUUUGUGCAUCAACAUUUGGCGCCGUCUGUGGGAAACGACACUUAUUCCUACUCUCUUCAGCUGUGUCAAGCUGGUUUCUAUCAUUCGUACACUUUCUUUUGAUCAGGCAUCCCUCUCCAGCAUGGGAAGCGAAGGAAGCCACAGCACACAGAAUGACACCCCCCCCUUGCACAUAGUGCGAAACAACGAAAGAAGGAAGGAAAACGAGUUCUUCUUCAAGCUAAAGUCAAUGAGUUGGAAGCUCAGAACAACAAGAUAGCAAUGAGGAAUGAGGUCCUCCAGGAGCAAUAUGAGAAGCUCUUCGAGACACUUCACGAAGCUAGGCAAGCUCAGACACGCGAGCUUGUUGCCCCCGUGGAAGUCAACCAUCAACUGGGUGCCCUCCAACAUGGAGGGUCACAUGCAUUCGACAUAGAUAUCCCUGAUAGGGAACAAAUUACCCCUCGAUUUGAUAAUCAACAUGAGGCUUCUCUUAACCCAGUUGCUUCGACCCGAACCAUGAGAAGCGGAGGGAGACACCUCUUUGCUGAAGGGGCAGAAGGAUCGAAAGCCGUCUUUCGCGAUUGUCGGGAUUUCCUGAAGCAACGUCGAGAGAAUUCCAUCCAUAUAAGCUCAAAGAUCAAUGACCCAAGGAUUUCUGAGAGACUCGGUCCCCUGCCACGGCCCGAGCCGGCCACCAACUUGGGGAAGGUGCAACAAGUCCUAGAGAGACAUGAGGGUACAGGGGACUCAGAGGUGUUCCGACAGACAUACCCUGGAAGCCAGUACAGCGAGUCCAGGGAAAAAUCACAUGCCCUUGAUCAAACCUUCCUAAUUCCAAGAGGAGAUGGAGAUUUACGAAAGAAAGCUCCAGUGGCACAUAACUCCGUUCAGGACCCUCUUGUCCUACAACUUCUUGAGGAAGUAAACAAGUUGAAGGCUGAACGUCAGGCUGAAAUACCUGACUGGAACCAACCCAGGCCUGGCCCUCUUACAAGGAGGAUCCUCAACACCCCCCUUCAAGCAAAGACAAAGCAGAAGCUUGGCUUGCAACUUUAUACUGGAAAAGAGGACCCGAUUGAGCACCUUAACCUCUUUGAGUCCACCAUGGCAUACCGGAUGCACACCGACGAAGAACGAUGUCUUCUCUUCCCCUCCACCCUCUCUGGCGGAGCUCUAAAUUGGUAUUGUCGUCUUACACCUGAGACGGUAGACUCAUUUGAGGAAUUGAGGAAACUAUUUGUUUCCCAACACAUUUUCCAAACCGAUCGCUUGCACUCUGCAGAUGACCUGUACACUAUCCGCCAGAGGCCAGACGAGUCAUUACGUAUGUAUGCUGGCCGCUUCAGCCAUGAAUACUCCCGGUGUGCCGAGGCAGACGACAAGACUGCCCUCAAAGCCUUCACGGCAGGCCUACGUGAUUGUUUCUUUUAAAUACAUGAUCAAUGCCAAUACUUGGAAGACUUACUCUGAGGUGAUGGCGCAGGCUUAUAACCAUGCCUCCGCCGAGGCAAAGACAUAUCAGGAGAAACCCCCUCACCCAACGCCAUGGAGGAAGAACUAGCAAUAGCUAAAGUUUGACGGUUGGGAAGAUCAUCCAAUGUUUCUCUAGUACAGGACUCUAACAAAGACCCCGAAGACUCCGACAUUGCAGACUCAGACUUAGAGCUAAAGCUAGAAGAGCCCUCAUCACUAGAACUUCCAGGCUCUGACAUCUACAAUAAGAAGAAACAAAUUCUAUCACUACAUGCAUGAUCAAAACCGUGUCAAGCGCCAAAAAAAAAAAAAAAAAAAAAACAGCUUCACCCGAAAAGCUUCACCUCCAAAACUUCACCCAAAAAGCUUCAUCCAAAAAGUUUCACCCAAAAAGCUUCACCUAAAAAAGCUUCACCCAAAAAAAAAAAAAAAACUUCACCUCCAAAAAGCUUCACCCAAACAGCUUCACCUAAAAAAGCUUCACCCACAAAGCUUCACCUAAACAGCUUUCCCCACAAAGCUUCACCCAAAAAGCUUCACCCACAAAACUUCACCCAAAAAGCUUCAUCCAAAAAGUUUCACCCAAAAAGCUUCACCUAAAAAAGCUUCACCCAAAAAAAAAAAAAAAAAAAAAAACUUCAAACUUCAAAAAAGCUUCACAAAAAAAGCUUCACCCAAACAGUUUCACCUAAAAAAGCUUCACCCACAAAGCUUCACCUAAAAAGCUUCACCCAAACAGCUUCACCUAAAAAAGCUUCACCCACAAAAGCUUCACCUAAAAAAGCUUCACCCACAAAGCUUCACCCAAAAAACUUCACCCGAAAAGCUUCACUUAAAAAAGCUUCACCUACACAGCUUCACCUAAAAAAGCUUCACCUAGAAAGCUCCCUCUACAUACUUUCACCUACAAAGCUUCACCAUCAAAGCUUCACCUCGAAAGCUUCAUCUACAAAGCUUCAACACAAAACCUUGCUCCAAAUAAACAAAUUUUGUUCACAAAACCCAAGAUGCCCUUGAACUUGUACAAAAACACUUGGGUAAACAUAAACAUUUUUUGUUUUACACCCACAAGGGCCCAAAAUUUUCCUUCUUAUUUAUUCACUUAUAUAUGUUCCCAAACAUAUUAUAAUAGAUCCAACAACAAGCCAAAGUCCCAAGUUUCAUAAUGGACAAAAGUACAAGCAAUUCAUCAAUAAUGAAGGUGCUACAAAACUUGGAAUCUGCCCCAAAAUAGAAAUCCAACCAAAGAGACUUUUUCUCUCUCUCCCUCUUUCGCCUCCUUUCAUCUAUCAAAUUUCUGCAACUUCUGCUCUUCUCCAAUGGAGCUGAAUUUUGAACACCCUAUAGUUUUUGAGCAUAUGAACAACUUUCAAGAAGGAACCAUUUCUGUUUGAGCGACGGAAAUUAAAGUGUUGAAGCUCCAAACAUGACAGUCGGAUUCUUGCAAAUUUCGAAGCUGCUAUGAUGUUUCGAAGAUCUGGAAAUAUUUAACCAUUAGUUCAUUCUGAAUUUUUGAUAUGUUAUGAAAGAGACGAUGAGGCACAACUUCAAUGAAGAAAGCAUGCUGAUCUGAACAAUAGAAAAUGGAGUUUCGAAGCUCACAACAAAUCUGACGGGUUGACAGAAAAAUAAUAACCAGUCAUUCAUCAUACCUAAAUUUCUUGAGUUAUACAGCUCCGAGGGAUCUCAAAUUUGGAUAUGUUGUAGUUCAUAAGCUGAGGAACAACUUCAAUGAAGAAAGCAUGCUGAUCUGAGCAAGAGAAAAUAGAGUUUCAAAGCUCACAACAAAUCUGACGGGUUGACAGAUAAAUGAUAAACAGUCACUCAUCAUACCUGGAUUUCUGGAGUUAUACUGCUCCGAGGGACCUCAAAUUUGGAUAUGUUGUAGUUCACAAGUUAAGGAACAACUUCGAUGAAGAAAGUAUGUUGAGAUGAACAAGAAAAAAUGGAGUUUAGAAGCUCACAACAAGUCUGACGGGUUAACAGAAAAUUGAUGAACAGUUACUCAUCAUACCUGAAUUUCUGGAGUUGUACUACUCCGAUGGAUCUCAAAUUUGGAGAUGUUGUAUAGUUCACAAGAUAAGGAACAACUUUCAUGAAGACGACUUUGCGAUCUGAGCUAUAGAGAAUGGUGUUAUCUUGCAUCCACUCAGGCUGAUUAGUGGAAACGAAAAGCAAUUCCACCAAAGAAAAAGAUGAAAAAGAGAGAAAAGCUACUAAUUGCACUUGAUCUUGUCUAGUCAAUAGCAUGCAGCAUCAAACACACAAAAGUUGGAAAUAUUUUUAGACAAGGCAUAUGCGAAUGUGUGACAUCGAAACAAGGAUUCGUUACUUUGACAAAUUAGUAACAAGCGAGACACCUCAUUCGGCAACUCUCUUCGCCUAAAGACUUGGGGGACUCCCACCAUAUGCUACUGCACCUUAAUACUCGGCAGUCUCACAACCACUCAGUGACUUGGAUUUUUCAAGUCUCCAACCGAGAAGUUUUCCUCACUCGGGAAAUUAAGGGAACACUACCUCAAACUACAUGCUUCACUCACAAAGCUUCAACAAUACAGGUUUCAACAAAAGCAAAAAUUCAAAGAACUUUAUGAAGAAGGCUUUGGUGUAUUUAACACAAUAUAUUGAAAUGAAGCAAAGCUUAUUUAUUAAUAUUUUCGAUAAGCCACAAAUAUGUACAUAUACAUGAGUCAAAAUAAAACAAACAAAAGGGAGCCUUCACAAAGGUUGCUUAGGGGAAGUCUCAGCAGUCGGUAGAGCCCCAGAAAGAGAAAGCACCGGAGGGUGGUUAUCCGGAGCCUCAGUACUUGACAAAACCCCAGAAGGAGGAGGCAUUGGAGGUUCAUCAUUUGAAGCUUCAUUACCAGGUACAGCCCCAGAGGACGAAUGCAAUAAAUGCCUUUGGAACAAACCCACAAACCGCUGAUGAUCAAGUAAAACCUUACCAUCAGAUUCCUUCAUCUGGUCAAGCUUCCUCUUCAUGUUUGUAGCAUAGUCAUGGGCGAGCCGGUGCAACUGCUUAUUCUCAUGCUUGAGCCCUCUAAUCUCCUGUUUGAGACUCAUCACUUCAGCAGCCAAUGAUUCAACUUGGCGGGUUCUAGCAAAUAGGCGUUGGGCCAUAUUAGACACAGAACCUGCACACUGAACACUAAGAGCCAGAGAGUCCUUAACAGCCAACUCAUCAGACCGUUUGGAAAGUAGUCUGUUAUCUUUGGGAGUGAGAAGGUUCUUGGCCACCACUGCAGCGGUCAUAUCAUUCUUCAUCACAGAAUCCCCAACGGUAAGAGGACCAGUAGGGGAUAUGAAGGAUGGGCGCCAUAUGUUGUCUGGAGAAGGCGUGGCUGUCUCUUUUCCAAGGUUCAGGUCAAAACGACGGUCGGAGGGUCCAGACAUUUUCAAAUGUGUUGAAGAAGGAAGAGGUCAGACAAAUCAAGAUCUUAGAAGUGCAAGAAAUGAGCUUCUACUGGUAGAGAUUCAGGUGUGCUGUGGAACUUAAUGCCAGCCUCUAUAAAAAUCUGCACUCGACGGAGCUUCAGAAAUCGAAGAGGCGUUUGCUUUCUCAAAAGCUGGGCUGCUCAGAGACCACGAGGGCCGAUCUCAGAAAUCGAAGAGGCGUUUGCUUUCUCAAAAGCUGGGCUGCUCAGAGAGACCACGAGGGCCGAUCUCAGAAAUCGAAGAAGCACCUGCUUUUUCAGCCUCGUCAGCACCUGUCACAUGCACACUCAGCUUUGCGGAAAUUACGGGCAAUCUGUCGAAGAUUUUCUGGUGAAGUAGAAAAGCACGUGAAUCUUACUGUUCAAUCACCGCUCUCCAUAUGCACCAUCAACUCCUCGGGUACCACAUAUAACUUUAUCAAAGAUCUCUGACAAAGUUUAGGCACGAGAAUUUCGAAGUUCCAGCUACCCUACUAUUACCCAUAAGGGUAAAGGAACAGCACCACUGCUUGACAACUGGAAAGUCCCUAUGUGUGUCGACCUCCGUGUUUUGCGGCAAGACAGGUUGGCAAGAACGUCCAACCUUUACUCACAUUCGAGAAAAGACUCCCAACAUAAUUACUUUCUCAAAAACCGGAGUAGCACCGCUUUCCGAAUCUCGAGAGUCAGAUCCUCGACGGGAUUGCUUGUUCGAAAAACCGAAGAGGCACAACUCUCAGAACUUCGAGAGCCAGAUUUCCUUAGAUAAAGCUUGUCUGUAAUCUUCACACGUAACAUCAGCUUUCCAGAUACCACAUACCACUUUUUCAAAGUGCUCUGACAAAAUUAAAACACGUGAAGCUGGCAGCUCCCACUACAUUGCUGUGACCAAGAAGGGUAAAGGAAUAGCAUUACUACUUGUUAUUGGGAAAUCCCUAUAUACAUUGACCUCCCUCCUCAACGGACAGGCAAACCUGCAAAAAUGCUCAACCCUUUCUCGCAUUCGAAAAGGCACCCUCAACAUAACCUUUCGAAAUACUCAGCUUUAUUUCCCCCCGAUAAUACCUCAGCAAAUAAGCCACACCAAGAACAAGAGUAUCUCAUAUCAUCAGGGUCGAAAGCAAGAGUAUCCCAUAUCAUGCUUUUCUCCCUAUCUUUGUCUUUGUCCUUGUCCACACCUGCAGGACAAGGAGAAAGAGAGCAGUCAGUCGGAACCUGAAAUCAAACCUCCAAUUUGGAACUGAAUUUGGAACUGACUGCCUGGAGCCUCUUGCCUGGUUGCUUACUUAGCAUUGCUCUCGAGUACUCAUCCUCAACUGAUGUCAAGGUCACGAAUUCCACCGGCAAAUACCUCAUGACAGUUGAUCAGAUAUUGGCUCUUUACACUGAAGCUGCCAAGCGUGGAUGAGUCACUAUGAAGGAAUGUUCUGAAUGACCAUUUAAAUGCAAAGGUUGCACACCACUUCUGCCAUGCAAAAGAUUGAAGCAGAAGGUUCAACGGUGAGCUGAAACAGAUCACUACAGCACGACACAUUUCCAUACCACAUUCAUUAUUCCGUCAACAGCAAAAGUAUCCCAUAUCAUCAAGGUCGAACGUACUCUAGAUUUGAUGGACUUGUUUUUGACCCUCAAAUUUUUGAGUCGGCCUUAUACUCUGAAGGGCACCAGAAAACCCUCCAGCACAGUUCAAGAAUAAGCCUGUGGAAAGUUACUUCUUCAAAAGCAAAAGUAUCUCAUAUCAUCUCUUAUCCAUUUGCUUCUCCUUAUCCUGGCAGUUGAAUGAGAGACAAGGAGAAGGAGAACAAUCAACCGGAAGCCGAAGUCAAACCUCUGAUCCUGGGUUGCUUACUUGGAAGUUUUGACUGCUUACCUUGUCUGUCACCUCUUUCGGCAGAUCUCCUAGCUCGGCAACUUGGGGGACUUCUACUAUAGGGUUUGUAUCACACUUGACUAAGCCCGAAACUACAACUAAGCUUCAAGUGAAAUUGAUACAUUACCUUGUGCGUCAACAUCAGCUAAAUACACCAUUCCCGGAUGGAGGAAAGGUACUUCCAGAGAAGGGCAGAUGAAGAUCAGACCACACUUCGGUACUUAGAAGUUUCGUGAUUACUCAAGGGAUUGGAUCUUGCAAGUCCCCAACCGAGGAGUUUUCCUCACUCGGGAACUUAGGGGAGCACUGUUUGUGUACCAUACUUGACCAAUCCCGAAACUACCGAGCACCGGCCAACGCUAUACUGUCAAGGACCCAGAAGAGUUCCCCUCCGACUAGGAGGCCAAUCACUACUCGACACGUGUCAAGAUUAGAAGCCAAUCAGAGCGCAGCACGUGUCGACAUCAAGAACCAAUCAUAACAUGACACAUGUCAAUGUGACAAAGCUACAAGUUUUUCUAUAAAUAGGGGUCAUUCCCCCACAAUAUUGCCUAAUGCCAUUUGUGUUAAAUCAUUCACAAGAACUCACUAAAUUGAGAGCUUGAUCCUUUGUACUUGUGUAAGCCCUUCACUACUAAUAAGAACUCCUCUACUCCGUGGACGUAGCCAAUCUGGGUGAACCACGUACAUCCUGUGUUUGCUUCUCUGUCUCUAUUCAUUUACGUACUUAUCCUCACUAGUGACCGAAGCAACCAAGCGAAGGUCAUAAAAUCUGACACUUUCUGUUGUACCAAAGUCUUCGCUGAUUUUGUGCAUCAACAUUACCGAUAUUUAAUACCUUGCUCUGUACUCAUAUCAAAUAAAUUGUUUACCAUAAUAGUCACAUUGAAAUAAAUAUUUGUUACAUAUACAAGAGGUAAAUCACUUUUGUUGUCAAUUCUCUUAGGGUGCGUUUGGUACGUGGGACGGGACGGGACGGAACGGGACGAGGUGUUCCGUCCCGCGUUUGGUGCGCCAAAAAUGGGUGGAACGGGCUGUUUCACGGGACAGAUUUUGGAUGUUUUUGCGUCCCACCUCCCCCUUGGAACGGGUUUGUUCCACGUCUGUGGAACACAAUGUUUUACCAUUUUAAGACAAAUAUACCCCAUGUCUUUUUCAAAAAUUACACCUUCGUUCCGUCCCGUCCCGUCCCGUUCCGUCCCGUCCCGUCCGAUCCCGUUCCGUUCCGUCUGCGUACCAAACGCACCCUUAAGGCUCGUUAGUAAAAACUUUUAAAAGUAUUUUUAAUUAUUUUAAAAAUAUUUUUAAACGAGUAUUUAAAAUUAUCCAAAUAAUUAUGAGAUGAAUUAGUGACAAGAGUACAUGUCGUGGGACAAAGAUUGUCUGCCCUCCUUGUUCCCGUGCUCUCCCGUGCCUUCCUGUUUUGUGUGGUCACGGUUAAGCCACGUCAACAUUUUAUAUUAUUUUUUAUAGAGAUAAUAAGACAAAAAUAAAUAGUAAUAUAAAAUGUUGACAUGGCUUAACCGUGACCAUACAAAAGCAUGAGAGGAUACGAACAAGAAGACAGACAAUCCUUGUCCCAUGCCGUGUGCAUGACCAAAUUGCGUACUUGGAAAAGUAAAAGCCAGACUUUGGUUACAACGAGAUUUGUUGUUAUGUCAAGGAGUCAACGAGUGUGUUGUGUUAGGGUAUUGGGAAUUUUGACGAACUUGGUGGAGGGGAUGGGUGGUAUGAAGAUAAGAUAACAACGUGAGAACGGAAUUGGAUUGUAAAAUUAGUUAAGUACGAAUUUUAUGGCCCGUUUGGUACCCUACCGAAAAUAAUUUUCUCUUAAGAACAGUUUUUCAUAAAAUUUAAAAACUUGUUUGGUAUAACACAAAAUUGUUUUGAAGUGUUCACAAGUUCUUUUCAAAAGAAAAACAUAGCUCUCUGCCCAGCAACUCCUUAUUGGAUCCGGAGAAGGGAGAUCGAGACCUGAAGAGAUGAGAUAAGAGAGAAAGAUAGAAGGGAGAGAGAGAUAGAAGCGAUUGGAAGAUAUCGCAGGGGUCUUUGCUGCCGAAUCUCUUCAUAAGAAAGAGAGGGAGAAAAGGGAGAGAGAGAGACGAGACACAGGAGAGAGGAUGAAGAAAAAAUGAUCUAGAAAGAAAGAGGAUAAGACUGGGGCCUUUAGUUUUAAAAAUUUUAAAAACAGACUUUUUAUGUUUUCAUGAAGUAAGCUAUAUUUUCAAAUUAGUUUUAAAUUCAUCUUCGCUUGUAAGGGAGAUGUUUUAGAUUCGAUUAUCGUCAAAAAAGAAUUUGAAUCACAUUAUUAUUAGCCUAUUGUGAGGUUAAGUCUUAGCGUACCCCUCCUUCCCUUUUAGCGUAUCAUUUGUUAAAAAAAAUUUAGUUUUUCAAAAUAGUCUUACCAAACAAAAAUUUUAGGCUUAGACUCAAAAAUUGCUUUUCAAAAUAAUUCUACCAAACAAAAUUUUUUGGUUUGAGACUCAAAUACUAAUUUUGAGUUAAAAAAAGAAAGAUUUAAUUUGAAUAUCACACAGACUCUUAUAAGCCACACAUCGCAAAUUCAAAUCUCGAAAUCCGAAGUCAACAGAUCUAGAGAUCUGAACGAAUUGCACGAAGGUGAUGUGGAGUGUAUGAAGAUAGGGAAUAUGAUCCUCUUCGGAUCCUCUUUGUAGGGAUCCGGAUGAUCAAUUAAUCGUGUCCGUUUAUCGUAUGUUGUGUGGUUAUAAAUUAUUUUAAAAUUUUAAUUUUAAAUUAAAUAUAAAUAAUAUCUAACGAAAUUAACCGCAAGAUAUACGAUGAACGGACACGAUUGAUUGAUUUUCAAUUACCACAAAGAGGAUCCGUCCUUAUCCUGAAGAUAGGACCGAAGUGGGACUGGGAUUGCAUUAGAAAAUUUGUUAAGCCUUCCGACUAUUCUUAUUUUAUUAAGCACCAGAUAACCACACAUCUCAAAGUCCUAGCUGUGAAGAUCACACUGUCCAAAAAAUAAGAAAAAGAUGAUGCUAAGGCCCAUGUUCCAUAAAUUAAGAUCGCUAUGUCGAAAAUAUUAAAAUGAUGCAAAAGCAAAUGAUUCAUAAAUUACAAGAAAAACUAAUGAAAACAACUUAAAAACUUUGAGUUUUAACGAUAAAUAUAAAAUAAAGGUAAAGUAAAUAGUACAAAGAUUGAUUUUUUAGUGUAAAAAUGUGAUUUUUCGUUAAAGUGAACCGUACCGAAAAUUUUUCGUCAAAGUUCCCUAAAUUAUAAUUUGUUGCAAUUAGGUCUUCCAUCUAACUCUGCCUAAAUAUUCUAAAUUUCACUCAUAAUACUAGUUUACAUGAAAUUCAACGAAAGACCUACAUUGCAAUAAAAUAACGCUAGCACUUACUAAUAAAUGAUGUCAUUCCCGACUCGCAAAGUGAAGCCCUUGAAUUUUAGGCACGUAGGGUUCUGAGGUUGAAUCGUGUGGAUUCACCAGGCACCCAUCUAUUAAUUGGUUCAUUACAUAAAUAGUAAGAGUAAUGUUAUUAAUCCUUCAAAAAUUUUAUUGUGCACUGUAUUUUUCUUUCCAAAUAUAAAAAAAUUAGAGUGCACAAAAUUAUUUCAGAGUGCCAAUAACAAUACUCAAUAACAAGACAAACUAUUUUUUCCUCAUAAACGCUCUUCUUUUUCAUUGAAUUAAAAAAAUAAAACCAAAACAACGGUCAAAAUUAAACACGAGUAUAGAAGGAGGAAAAAAGUAUGUGAUUAUCGUCCCUUAAAAUCAUGAUUUAGGGGACGCUUAGCAAGUCAAUUUUUCUUUAGAAGUGUAAAACGAGACACAAACCGAAGUUUUGUAUUGAAGUUUUUUUUUUCUGGUACGAUAACCACAGCAAACACCGAACAUGUUCUAAAUUAUAACUCGAAGGCUUUUCAAUUAAGUACUUAAGCAAAAGCGAAAGCAGCU